Molecule: long non-coding RNA, 62163 nt
Filed under: Malus domestica (apple)
Lineage: Eukaryota; Viridiplantae; Streptophyta; Magnoliopsida; Rosales; Rosaceae
Description: long non-coding RNA (MDOM_LNC002166)
Source: RNAcentral
GUAAGCAUAUCUAGGAUUCUAAUGCUAUGAAUAUGUGUGUGCCUGCCCUUGUCGAAUGAGGACCUACAUAUAUUCUAGAGUAGUACUUGUUAAUUGCGAUUAACAUGUGAACCAAUUUCUAGGAUAAGUAAGACAACGCCAGUACUUACGAUGCAUUGUGAUGACUCAAACUCUUUUCGUUCUUAAUGAUUUCUACUUGUUAAAUCUAUGAACACGCCAUUCUAGAUUGCAUGCUAGGGACUAAGUUAAGUUGAAAAUGUCAUUCUCUUGACAUACUACGUAAGAAAGAGUAAUAGGUUGAGUUCUAACAUUGAGCCAACUUGAGCAUCUUCAUCCGGAAAUAAAAGGAAUUUGAAUGAAACAUAACAUGUUUGCAUGAUUAUUUGGUGGUGGAUAGCAAUUCCCCUAACUCGUUUUUCUUAAUUUAUGAACUAUUUAAAAUUUGUUUCUGUCCUGUUUUUGUUCGAUUUAAUUUAAAUAGCAAAUCAACUCCAAAAAUCCCAAACAUUUGUGUGAGUGUAGCUCUUUGUGUCUAGUAUCUGUAUAUAAAAUUUCGUAGAAUUUGGAUAAGUGUAAGUCGGUCUAAUAAUUAUUUUUCGGUGACUGGUCAGUAGGGACAGCAACCAGUUUUUGUGACAUUUUAAGUAGUUAGAUAAAACAAUCUUCUACGGGAAAAACCCUUAUUUUCAUAUGCUACAAUUGACAAAUCUUAUUGUUAAUAAGGAAAAUCAAUAGGACAUUUGUGUGCUACUUUGUAGUGUGCUUUUAAUCCUAUCAAUAUACAAACAUGUUUGAUGGUUGGAUCGUUGAAAAUAGUUUCGUAGAAUGCGUGUAUCUCAUCAAAACAAUAGAUUCACUAAGACUUAAAAGUUUAUUCAUACUUUCAUUAAGUAUAGCAUAAGAUUUUUUUUGUAUGCACUAGUUGUGGAGCCAAAAAUAAUCACAAGGCGACACGUGGAUUUUUGACAAAAAAAGACAAAACUACCCUUGAGGUAUACCGGGAUUCCUACGUGCAAUCAGCAGACAAUUAUCCUUCAACCAAGUCAAAAGUACCCAAAAUAGGUAUCAACUUAAAACCUAAUUUAUUCAUAUAUUUCCCAUUUCAUUAUUUAGCUAAUCAAUUAGCUAAAUAAUAUACUUAUUCCUUUCAUAUUUCCUAAAAUUGACUAAUUAAGGGAUUAAUUACCUAAUCAAUCCCUUAAUUAUCAACUAAACCUCCAAAUUAUAACCAAAACCCCACUAGGGCCGGCCAUGCCCUUUAUUUUCUGUUUGUUGCUGCCAUUUUCUCCCCCUUUUUAUGACAUUCAAAUAGCUAGUUAAUUAGGUUAUUACUAUUUGCUAAUUAACUAGCCAAUUAUUUCCAUAACUCCCCAAAAUAACUAGCCCAUUAUCUCCAUAACCCCCCAAAAUAAAUCACCAUUUCCUCUCCUAUAAAUUGGGUCCCAUUUUCACAAAACACUGGUUCCAAUUCUCUUACAAAAAAUCUCAAAUAUUCUAAACACUAUUUCUCUCUAAAAUUCUAACUUUGGCAUCGGAGGUUCUUCGGCCAAAGCCCCCCCCAUUCAUCGUGGGCGCGUGAGGCUCUUGACCUUAACCUAAGGUGCUAGUUGUUUUGUAGGUGCAAAAUCGUCCAAGAUCGAAGCGGAGAAAAUUUGCAUCCACACUAGUGUAAAUAUUUUAAAUUGAAGAUCAAAUUCAAUCAUUGUAUUCAUAUAGGGUCAAGGAGAGUAGCUGCAAAAAAUCAUCAAAAUCGGAGUUAAAAUGACCGUUAAAUCGUGAUUUUUCGUUUUAUAACCGUCGAAAAGUUUUGUCCCGUUCCUUGAUCUCUGAAUGUUUGUUUUUUGCAAUUUUUGGCGUAUGUGAUCUCGAAGUAUAUACAAACAUGUUUGACAGUUGGAUCAUUGAAACUAGUUUCCUAGAAUGAGUAUCUCAUCAAAACAAUAGAUUCACUAAUACUUAAGAGUUUAUUCAUACUUUCAUUAAGUAUAACAUAAGAUUUUGUGGUAUCCACUAGUGUAAAUAUUUUAAAUUAAAGAUCAAAUUCAUUCAUUGUAUUUAUAUAGGGUCAAGGAGUGUAGCUAUAAAAAAUCAUUAAAAUCAGAGUUAAAAUAACCGUUAAAUCGUGAUUUUUCGUUUAUAAUCGUCGAAAAGUUUGUUCUGUUAUUUUAUCUCUGAAUGUUUGUUUUUUGCAAUUUUUGGCGUAUGCGAUCUCGAAGUAUAUACAAACAUGUUUGACGGUUGGAUCAUUGAAACUAGUUUCGUAGAAUGAGUAUCCCAUCAAAACAAUAGAUUCACUAAUACUUAAGAGUUUAUUCAUACUUUCAUUAAGUAUAACAUAAGAUUUUGUGGUAUCCACUAGUGUAAAUAUUUUAAAUUGAAGAUCAAAUUCAUUCAUUGUAGUGUAACUGUAAAAAAUCAUCAAAAUUGGAGUUAAAAUAACCGUUAAAUCGUGAUUUUUCGUUUAUAACCGUCGAAAAGUUUUGUCAUGUUACUUUAUCUCUGAAUGUUUGUUUUUUGCAAUUUUUGGCGUAUGCGAUCUCGAAGUAUAUACAAACAUGUUUGACGGUUGGAUCAUUGAAACUAGCUUCGUAGAAUGAGUAUCCCAUCAAAACAAUAGAUUCACUAAUACUUAAGAGUUUAUUCAUACUUUCAUUAAGUAUAACAUAAGAUUUGUGGUAUCCACUAGUGUAAAUAUUUUAAAUUGAAGAUCAAAUUCAUUCAUUGUAUUCAUAUAGGAUUAAGGAGUGUAGCUAUAAAAAAUAAUCAAAAUCGGAGUUAAAAUAAUCGUUAAAUCGUGAUUUUUUGUUUUAUAACCAUCGAAAAGUUUUGUUCGGUUACUUAAUCUCUGAAUGUUUGUUUUUUGCGAUUUUUUGCUGAUACGAUCUCCAAGCAUAUACAAACAAGUUUGACGGUUGGAUUGUUGAAAUUAGUUUUGUAUAAUUCGUAUCCCAUCAAGUUCAAUGGUGUGUGUGUAUAUAUAUAUAUUUAUUUAUUAAGUAGAUUUAAAUCUAUUUAUGUUGUACGUGUAAUUGACCAGUACACGGAGUAGUACAUCACGUGUCAUUAUAAAAAUAGUGGGAUAUGUCAUAUGUGUGAUAAAAAGUUAAUAACUUAAAAAAAAAAAAAAAAAAAUUUCUCACCACUUUUAUUAAUUUUCAUUUUCCCCUCUCUUUUUUGUUUCAUUUUCAGCUUUUCUUAUAAUUUCAUUUUUCCCUUCCUUCUUUUUCUUCAAAGGGCAGCAGCCUACCCAUCUUUCCCUCUCUUUUUUUGUUUCAUUUUCAGCUUUUCUUAUAAUUUUCAUUUUCCCUCCCUUUUUCUUCAAAUGGUGUGGCAGGAAUGGAAUGGAAUUAUGGAUCAAUGGAUGCAUAUUAAUUAAUAAUUAUUAUAGUUUUUAUAAAAUUUAAUUUAAAAUUUAAUAUAUAUAUAUAUAUUUAUAGUUAAUAUUUUGGGGGUAUAAUUAUUAUAGUAUAUAUAAUUAUUAUAAUUAUUAUAGUUAAUUAAUAUAUAUAUAUGUAUAUAUUUAUUAUAGUUUUUAGGGGUAUAAAAUUGUUAAAUUAAUAUAUAUAUAUAUAAUUAUUAUAGUAUUUUUUUAGGGUUAUAAAAUUAUAAAAUUAAUAUUCUGCUUAUCGUGUAUUGUGUUACCCACGUGUAUACCCGAAUCAACCCGUUAUCUUAACAGAUGCUUAUCGGGUUACCCGAUAAUGACCCGAUUCGUUAUCGUGUCGACUCAAACACCUGUUAAUUUCGUGACAUAUCGUGUCGGGUUAUCGGGUCGUGUCAGGAAUUGUCAGGCCUAAUUAUGACUCAGAGGCUUGUGUGAAUGUCAUGAAUUGGGUAAAUUAGAGAUUGUAAGAGCCCGAAAUUUUUAUUUUCCGCUUGUCCAUUUAAAAUACAAGAGAAAUCAGUAAUCGGAAUAAUUUUAGAACUCGUUUCAACCCAUUCUAAGUUAGCAUGCCAUAAAGUUGAAAUAACGCAAUUAGUCCUCAUUAUACUUGACGCGCCACAGUUAUCUUAUGGGAAAGCUUUUGAUCCAAUUUGACACUUCAUCUAUUCCAAUUUAUUCAAUGCAUACCAUCAGGUUGCCUACAUGUAUGUUGCGAUAAUGUCAAUAAGUUAAUGGAAAUUUUGUGAGUCUUUUCGAUCAUCGGAAGGGGUGGAUAACCGUGGCUUACUACCAGUUAUUCCUCUUUUAAAAUUUAAAAAAAAAAUUAAUAGAAACUUGGCCUCCUAAGACCAUCUCCAACCCUUGGUUAAAACCUAAAAUGUUUAAGCCCCAAAAUUUAGGUUUUAAAAAUAUUCAGAUUCCGAAAAUAUAACAUCCAUAGUCACUUACAUAUGGUGGGUGUCAAGAUGAUAACACUUAUACCCCUUCUAAUGAGUGGAAAAACCAACAAAUACACACCGAAGUGCACACUGAACAAGUUUACUUCAAUGAAUCUUUUGAAUAUGAACAUACAUUACACACCUAAACACUCGAGGAAUGAGCGUAUUUGUUGACACUGCCAAAGCAUGUUGGGUGAGUUUUUGAAGAGGUCUGAAAACCGACAACUCGGGAUGGCAUACGGUUGAUUACAUAAACUGCAUAAGUGGCUGCUUCAGGCAAAAAACGCUUAGGAACAAAAGGACCAAUGAGCAAGGCACGGGCAGUUUCAAGAAUAUGGAGAUUUUUCCUCUCAGCCACCCCAUUUGUGGAGUGUGAGGACAUGUCGUUUCAUGAAUAGUUCAUUGAUUACGAAGAAAUUUGGACACCUCAAAAUUAAUAUAUUCACCUCCAUUAUCAGAGCGAAGAACUUUAAUAAUGAAGGAAUAUUGAGUCUGAAUAAUCUGAGAAAAAGACUGAACCACCAUACUAACAUCACUCUUAUUUUUCAUCACAUACAAACAAGUCAUAUGAGUGCAAUCAUCAACGAACGUAACAAACUAUUUAAGUCUAGAAGAAAUACUAAUAGGGGAUGGUCCCCAAACAUCAGAAUGCACAAGAUCAAACGGAAACAUUCUUUUAUUCAUACUUGGAGUAAACAAAGCACGAUGGCUUUUAACAAGAAUACAUAUUUCACAUUGUAAGUCUGAUUCAAUUAUUUCACGAAAUAAACUAGGCAACAUACGCUUUAAAUAACCAAAAGACACAUGGCCCAACUGGCGAUACAAUAACCAAACUUCUUGUAAAUUACUAGCACGAGAUGCUCAAACCGCAUUAGCUCUUCGAGGAACGAUGUCAUCCACAUAAUACAACCUCUCUCUCUUAGUACCACACCUAAUUAUCUCCUUGGUCUGAAUAUCCUGAGGUACAAAGGGACGGAUACAUUAUACAACACAAUCCAACUGCUCAGUAACUUGUGGUAUAGAUAAUAGAUGAUGUAACGAAAGAGAGGGUGUAAGACACACUAUUCCUGCUCCAAUAACCAGAGCAGUAGUGCCAUUGGCAGUAGCUAUGCGCUUUUUACGAGAUAUUGUCAUAUAUUGAAACAAAGUUUUAUUGUAAGUCAUAUAAUUCGUUGCAUUAGAGUCGAGAAUCCAACCUAAAUGAUGAUCAGUAUCAGAGGCUAAAAGAACAUGUCCCACAAUACCUGUAUUAAACGAUGAUUCACCAGUACAAGUCAACAGAGACUGACUCAAAUCACUAAAAGGUAACUAGGUUUCCUUAAUACUGCUCAGUGUGGUUGUGGCUAAGGAUGACGUCCUCCACUUGUUCCAUUAUUUGCACACUCAUUUUCUCGCAAACGUUUCUUCAACUCUGAAAACCAUUCGGGUACUCUAUGCUUCGCAAAACUUGUAUCCUCAGUGUGGCAGGUUUGACCACAGAAAGCACACUUUAAAUCAUCUUUGUUUUCUUUUCUCUCUUCGUUUGCCACGUGGCAUCACCCCAACUCAUCCUCUAUCUCUCUCUCUUGCCCCGAGACUCACUCAUCUCACUUUUUUCUCUCACUCUAUCACUCUCCCCAUUUCUCAUAGAUCAAAGCCGCACCCAUUCACACCCUUAUAAGCACCCCGAUGACGGCGCAUCACCACCACCACCCUCGUAGACCUCUCAUUCCUCUCCACCUUCUUCGUGAAGCUUUGGAGUACCCAGAGAACACCAAACCCAAGUCCCAUGAAUUGUGGGUGUGCAAGUCCAAAUCCGGCCAUCUUUGGCAGUUUCACGGUAAACCUCAGGUACCAACUUCUCCCUCUCACCUCUACCUUUAAUUUUAUUGGUAGAUCGUAAGUUAUGGUGACCAAAUGAUGACGAUCGGAGCCCGAGAAGCUCUAGCUUCCUUCCCCAACGAGUAACGGGUCGAAUGACCCAAGCUUAGUGAACAAGGUCCUUUGGGCCGUUUAGGAGUCGGGACUUAAGCCCGUUAGCCAUUAUGCCUAAACCCAAAAUCCUUUUACCUAUUUAUUUUUAUUUAAACCCAAAACCCUUUUGUUGGGCCAGGCCUUCAGCCCAAGACCAAAGGGUUUCGGCUCAUAAGCUCUUAAGCCCAAAACCCAAAACCCUUUGCUUUGGGCCGGGCUUUCAAGCACAGGCCCCUUGAACCAAAACCCAUCAGAUAAGGCCUUUGGGCCUUGGAACCCAAGCCCACUCCUUUAGGCCUAGCCCUGUCCAACCCUAAGCCUAAACCGGUUGACUCGGUUUGACCCGACCUGGUUGACCCGUUAACUUUGACCCUGUUGACCAGGUCUGGCCGUUGACUUUAACUUUGACCCGGUCAACCAUCCGCGUUGACUUUGACUUUAACCGGUCAACCAUCCGCGUUAACUUUGACUUUAACCGGUCAACAGUCAAUGUUGACUUUUUGGUAGUUUUUCAGGUUUUCGUUUGGGACCCCUCAUAGGCUAAUUUCGACGUCUUAGACCCUUUUAUGACAUCUGUUUUCCCAAAUUCAUUCGUUUAAGUAUAGUUUUAUUAAUUGGACCCUUUAUAUGCUUAGGUGCAUAAAUUAUAGCAAAUCCGUCUUCGCUAGUUUGCGUGGCUCUUCGGCAACAAUGUAUCUGUGAGUGGACCCCUUCUAAAAUGCAUGUUUUAAUAGUAGAAAUGCAUACAUGAAAAACACGAUUUAAUGAUUACAUUUUAUGAAAUGUUUUAUGAGAUAUUAUGCUUACUUAGAAUAUUUUGGAAUACCAUAUUUUCUAUCGAACCUAUGUCCUUUGUAGGGUAUCUGAUGGAUGACAAUAUAAUAUUGUUUGGACCCAAAUUUUUACCAUCAACCCAUGCAAUCAUGGCCGUUGAGUGAGCAUAGCUCUCAAUCGUUGGAUGGAAAAGUGGAGAUAAUUUUGGUCAUUAUUAAAGGAUAAUAUUAUGAUUUUUUUAUCAUAAUAAUUAUCUUUUAAUAUGCAUUAUCCUAGCGUUUUCUUCAACCAGAUAAAUAUGAUGUGAAUUAUAUCCCAAGCGAGCAGUAUAGUUUAAGUUGAUUUGGGAUAUCUGACGGUACAUGGAAGCUAAAAAUGAAUUUGAAAUGCAUUCAGAUAGGGUCAGGAUGCAUGCCACAAUAAAGGUGAUGGCUUUGCGUGAUGAUGAGACAAGCCUAGAAAGGCUAGUUUUGUAAUGAUGACAUAGGAAACCUAGGAGUCUUGGAUGAUGGGAUGGCGUGAUCAGAUGGGUUUUGAAGGGAUAAUGAAAGAAUAUUUUUUUAUUUUCCAAUAUGGUCAAAACAAAUGUAUCAGAUAAGAGGAUUAGGAAGUAAAGAUGAGAAUGAUUAGUCAAAGAAUGGGGUUGCAUGCAGACUGCAGGUCUGGGUCUGUGAUGAUGCGAUUUCGUUGGUGCAUAAGGCUCCAGGAAAGCUUUGAAGUUUUGGUCACGUGGAAGGUGUUAUAGUUUGUAAGUUUUCAACAUUAUCUUUAAGAAAUUGGGAUAUAUGUGUAAUGAAUUAUCAUGGAGAAAGUGAACGGCAAAGGGAUAUGGCGCGUAUAACUUGGGAUAGAGUUUUAUUGGACUCUACAGACACUCUGGCCAUGCCAAGGAAAUACCCAACCCUAUAAAUACAAGACUCGGUGCAACGGAAGAGCCUCCUUUAACUCAACACACAAAUUGCCCUGCGCAAACCCUCGCUCUAUGCGAAACCUCUCAAACAUCUUGAGAUUUUUAUUUUCUUUUUCGCCAACACAUCUUUAGUUUGGAUAAACAACACUGUGAAGGUAACCGGCCAACAUCUUCAGUUUGGAUAAACAACACUGUUGCCGUAGAAUUAGCCAACCACGGAGCACCUUCAAUUUGGAUAAACAACACUGCGUCGAGGCCGACUGGUUAUCUAUCCAAGUCUCGGUCGAGAAGGAUUUUUGAAUCUUUAUUGGCAGAUGUCAUCUCAUUAGCCUUCUCGACGAAGUGAGGUGUUACAAAUUAUUACAUUCGGCACAUUGAAAGCCUAAUUUGAUAUUGAACUUCGCAGAACUAGUAGCCUUGUCUUCAGGCUCUAAAACCCGAAGGUCGAUAAGUGUUCGCUCAUCGGUCGCAAUCGAGAUUCAGAAGUCAGCAGCACACCCAACGCAACAUCAACAAAUUUUACUCACUGGCCAAGCUCGGCCGUCUAGUUGGCAUGCCCUGCACAUAACCGAAUGAUGUAGUUAGCUUAUUAAUUACUCGGCCUGCGCACCGCGUAGGCUUAGUAGUUUUUAGGGUCAACAACUAUUUAGAACAUGUUUUUAAACACUUCUUUAUAGUAUAGAUGAUGGAUGACUUUAUACUAUGAAUAUGUUUUUGAGAUAUAUGUACUUGUGUUUGGAAAAACUAUGUUAAAUGGUUUUGUGCUUAUCUAGUGGUCACUAUUUAGCUAUGGGUGAGGUUUAUGAUGUUGGCAUGUGGGCCGGGAGAAAUAAUCCCUAGCUUCAGGUAAAAGGACAUGGAGCUGCCAAGGGGCCUGAAGAAAUAAUCUCUGGCUUCGGGUCGAGAGACAUGGAGCUGGCAAUGGGCUAGGAGAUAUUAUUAUUUGAUACCACUAUUUAUCACACUAUAUACGAGAUGUGUUUUAUGUGAUGUUUUAUUGCAUGAUAGGGUUUUCGAAAAAACCUACCACUUAUUAUGCUAUUAGUUUUCAUAAAGCUUUGGGGGUUAGUAUGUUGAUAACUGUUUUAUUAUAUAUGUAUAUCAACUUGGUCCACUCAUGUUUGUUUUGCACCGCUUCAGGAUUUAGAUUCAAGGCAUAUGAUCCCGGCGUCAAGGCACAUCCAUAUCGGCAUCUUCGAGUCCUCUCGGUGUAGGACCCAUUCUUUUAUUCAUUCAAUUUUAUAUUAUUUCUUUUAGUGUUCUUGUUAGUUGUAUGCUCUGAACACGUUCCUCAUUUGCAUAUUAAUUAUAUUUAAAUUUCUUUUAUCUUAUUCAUAUUUUAGUUCUCAUAUUUUCAAUAAAUGGUUUUCAUCACCCUCGGGUGUCGGCCAGCAUGUGACCAUUCCGAUGUCCCACGAACAUCAGGAUCGGGACGUGUCAACUACAAACCUUAUCAAACAUAUCAUCUAGAUCUACUAAAAAGCAUAAACUCGGUCCAGUUGGAUUUCUUCUCAAAGUGUCUUCAAAUCAUGAGCACACUUCUUCUUUAUUGGUCUGCUUUAAUCCAACUCCUGCCACAUUGACUUGAGAUCAAUGUUGUAAACACCAAUAGGACAUCCUUCCUGACGAAGUCGGAACGACUUAACCUUCAGUUCCUAAAUCUGGGAGAUGUCAGAGCCAUCGUAAUAUGUUCGAGCAACCUCUUCCCAUACUUUGGUUGUGCAAAGGUGAAUGAAAAAUCCCAUGACAGUAGGAUCCAUAAAAUUAAUCAACCACCCUUUCACAAUUACAUUCCCUGUCUCCCACGUCUCAUACUCAGCACUGCCUUAAUUCAGUUCCUUGAUACUUCCUGUCACGAAUCCCUUCUUACCGUGUCCACUGAUAUGCAUCUCCAACACUUUGGAUCAAAGGGGAUAGUUCGAUCCAUUGAGUUUGAUAACACUCAGCACAGCAGAAGCAUCAUUCUGAAUUACCACAAAGUUAAGGACAUACUAACUAGUUGAACCAACGAUUCCACCCCCAGAUUUCUGUUCUGAGCCUCUCUCCUUAUCGUUUAGCAUUGUUGUAUCGUAGCAUAGUCACGGAAGCACAACAUCACACUCACGAUAGCACAACAGCACACACACAGAGCAAGAACAGCGAACAUAGUUCUUGCAGACACAAUAGCGGCACGAUAAAAAAAAUUUAUAGUUAAAGUUACGACAAACCAAGGUCGAAUGCCAAAUGGAAUUAUAUGGCUGAAUUACUAAUUUCUUAUUAUUCACAAGAUUAAGAAUAUAUAUACACAAUCCUUGUUCCACAAGGAAACAUAAAAGGACACAAAAUAUAUUCUUCCUAAUAAAGGACUCCUAAAAUAUUUACAUAAACUUUACAUCCUUAAUUAAGACUCAUGUUAACAGGAUUCAUAUGGGAAGUGAGGGAAUAUAUUGUCCAAGUUAGUUGCUGAGGAAAAAAAGAGUCAGUCAAUUUGAUUUUGUAGCAAGUUUUAUAGGUCUCUUGGGAAUUCGCCUAUGCAUCAAUUUUGAAGUUUGCAAUUUUUAAUGCUUAUCUCUAGUUGCCGAGGAGGAGUUACAUAGUAUGAGUAUACUGCCAGGAUGGUCCUGUGUCAACGUAAAUAAAGUUGUGUCCAUAUUUAUUCACAGUUUACAUGCAACUCCACGCAAUAGUGCAAUGCACUCGUGUUAUGUAAGUUAUUGUUAUUAUCCUAGUUACCUAUAUAAUCCAUAUAUAUCAUGUGAGCACAUAGUAAAGCGGCUGAUUUAGAACGAUUGGGACAACGAUUGAGAAAAACAAAGGGAAGUUUAAUGAAAAGCACCUGGUACUGUUCACUUUAAUGAAAAACCACAUUUUUACACUAAAAAGUCAAUCCUGGUACUAUUCACUUUACCCUUUAUUUUGUCCUUAUUAUUAAAACUCAAAAUUUUCAAACCAUUUUCAUUAGUUUUCCUAAAAACAAAAGGAAAAAGAAAUAAAUUUGGUUCGAACAAGGCAGAUUUAUGGGAAGUCCAUCUUGAACAUAUCUUUUUGGGCUCCAAGUAAAAGAGUCAGAGGCCCAAUUCCAAUAAAGGAAACAAACUCCCUAAUUAGAAAAAUCUUAUCAUCUCACUAAAGGUUAGAAGUAGGGGUGAGUUUGGUCGGAUCAGAUUGGAAGCAAGCAUUCGUAUCAUAUAUUUGUUCCAGUUUCGGAAAUUUGGAUUAUCAGAAUUUAUUGGAAAUUUUGGAAUUAGUUUUCUCUCAGAAUUUUCGGAACUUGAUUUAGAUCUCUUAUAUUUUGCAAGACUGAGAUUUUUUUUUUAACUUGUAUGAUUGCACUAUGCAAUAUUUUCUUUUUUAUGACAUAAGACCAUAUUAGAUACGAUUAAAUAGUAUGUAUGAUUAUACUCUUUAUUUUUAGAAUAUAAUAAUAUGAUUAAAUAUACAAAAUAUGAGAUAAAACAUACUAAAUAUAAUAACAAACAUGAUAAAAUAAGAAUAUGCAUAAUUUUUUUUUAAAGGAACAAGUUUGAGAAAUUUGAAAUCGGAUAGGUACAUUCCAAUGGCCAUUCAAUUUUGUUGAAAAUUUUGGGAAUCAAUAAUGUUUGGACUCAGAAUGGAAAUUUUCUGUUUAGAUUGGAAUCUCUAAUCCAACUUUCACCUCCUAGUUAGAAGGAAAGGAAGGAGACAAUGAAUCUCGUAGAUAAGGAAGCAAAAGCUCACGCUGCCAAACCACAAUUCUAACGGAGUCAUUAUGACUCUGAGGCUUGUGUGAAUGUCAUGAAUUGGGAAGAGAUUUCUCUCUAACUUAAUUUAGUUCAGUAGUAAAUUAGAGAUUGUAACGUGGGAGCUCGAAAUUUUUAUUUUUCGCUUGUCCAUUUAAAAUACAAGAGAAAUCAGUAAUCAGAAUAAUUUUAGUACUCGUCUGAACCCAUUCUAAGCUAGCAUGCCAUAAAGUUGAAAUAACGCAACUAGUCCUCCUUAUACUUGACCCGCCACGGUUAUCAUAUGGAAAGGUUUUUGAUCCCAUUUGACACUUCAUCUAUUCCAAUUUAUUCUAUGCAUACCAUCAGGUUGCCUACAUGUAUGUUGUGAUAAUGUCAAUAAGAUUAAUAGAAACUUUGUGAGUCUUUCUCGUUCCCGGAAUAGGUGGAUAAUCGUGGCUUGCUACCAGUUAUUUCUCUUUUAAAAUUAAAAUAAAAAAGAUUAAUAGAAACUUGGCCUCCCAUGACCAUCUCCAACCCUUGGUUAAAACCUAAAAUGUUUAAGCCCGAAAAUUUAGGUUUUGAACCCAAACAGUUUUUCUGCUCCAACCUUGCUAGUUAAAUUUUUAACCCGAAAUUAGGAUAAUGUUUUUAGUAAAGUAACUUUAAAAAAAAUUAUGUAGGCUAUUGUAAUUUAUUUUUAUGAAUAUUUUAACCUAAAAAUAUUUAGAUUCUGAUCAAUAUUGAAAAAUUACUAAACCGACACCAAAAAACUCGUGGAACACUAUGAAAGAAUAUGAAACACAUGAAAAAUUAAAUUAAAUUAAAUUAUUUUAGUUGUUGAAUUUAAAUUUGGACAGUUAGAUUUUUUUUUUUUUUUUUUUACCGUUGGAUUUAAUCAUAAUAAAUUUUAGCCAUCAAUGAAUUUAUAAAUAUAAAACUAUGCCCACUAACCCAGGGGAAUACUGGGCUAAAUUUUCCCCCAAAAUGAGUCUUGGUUAAAAAACAUAUCACGCUCAAGGGUUGAAACAAGUUGGGGUAGGUUUAGAACCUAAAAUUUGUGUUUUACACAAAGAGUUGGAGUAAGUCUAAGAGCAAAAGGGAUCUUGAUGAUGAGAAAUUCCUGUGUUUUGGAGCCGUUGAAUCACAUUUAUCGUCAAUGGAGCGGAACGGAAUGGAACAGUGUUGCGGGCGGAAGCCCUGGGUGCUUGGGGUGAUGGAUGAUGUUUUAUAGCAGCAGCAAUAGUAGCAGUAGCAGCAGCAGCCGCAGUAACUGCUUGCUUUAUUUCGUUCUGUCUUGUUUUCUAUGCGUACACGAUUUGAACUAGACCCAAAUAAGAAUAGGGAGACUAGGAGUCAAUGAGAAGAGAAUUCAUCUCUCUCCCUUUCCGGUUGUUACCAUUUACUUGGUUGAGAAUCUAAUGACUCAAUAAAUACAAGAAAACUUGCCUAACUUUGACCGCAAAACCAACUCUUCUUUCAAACUCUUUGACCCAAAAGAAAAACUUGGACUCACUGAUGUGACAAAUAAAGAAAAAUAAUACGUCCCCUUUGAAAGGUGGACGUAUCUCUUGCAGAGGAUAAUGAUUCGAAGCCAAUCACGCGAAACUGUGUGAACAAGUCAAAGCAAAUCACGACGAGAUGCGUGGAGCGUAAGAUAUUAUGGUUGCAUGUAAGUUCUUCUCUCGUGCAUCGUGUAUGUGAUGUACAACAGUACAAGAUUUAAGAAAGAGGAAUUUUAGAUUAAAGCAUGCAAAGCCAGCCAUCCAGCAUCAACUAAAGCGGGGGAAUCCCAUACAUCGAUGCACUGUAGAAUUUUUGACAAUAAAGAUUCCUUCAGUGUAUCGGUGUACGUAAUGCAAUGUAUAGGAAGAAUAGUUGAUGGCAGGCAAAUCUAGCACUUUGAAUAUUGGUGUUGAUAGCAUAAGGAACAAGCAAAGGGUACAUAAAAACCAUCACAUAUAUAGAUGUCUUCUGUGUACACAUUACAUAACUACACAUGCCAACAUCGACUUCAGCAACCGGAAAAAUGUUUCCGGCAUUUCAACAAAAGUACGGAACAACGGAUUGGGUUUUCCAGUCCUUUAUUGGCUCUACUCAAUACCGCAACUAGAUAACCUAUAUACUUGGAUGAGGAAGUUACAGUUCAAGUUUCGAGGGUUAUAAACAUCUAACAAGUUCGACAGAUAUAAGCAACUAAACGUAAUCCAUAACACACCCCCCCCCCUCCCACCAACACAUAGGUUGGAGCAGUCAUCUAAACACCAAACAAGUCCGACUGAUAAAAAGAGCAACUAAACUUAAAAAGAAGCUUCACCUAUUCGGUCCGCAACUGUGUAACUCCAACACAUUGGAGCAGUCAAUAUAAGAAAACCCCACUUCAUUGGAACCAAGGGGGUGCAUCUUGCUUCAGCGGAGCGUCCAUAACAUUAUAAUCAGCUGGUGCCAAGUGCAAGGGGGAGUCGAAUCUCAUGUCGACGUUUUCAAUGGGAUUGUUUCCAAAUGGAGAAUCAAAUGCGAUGCACUGAUCAAACUGAACUUCCUGGGAUGCGAAACCUGGAUGAAGCAUAGGCAUGGGGGCCGGUUCAGACAUGUUGAUGUUGCAUCCUGUAUCCACCCCUUGACCAAAAAAGUUAUCAUUCAUUGGCAAUUGAUAUUUCGACUGCUGCUGGUUGCGGUUAUCUACGAUAUGGAGGUUUCCAGGAUUGCAGUUCUUGUUCUGCUGAACAUUACUAUCAUAGAAUGACAUAAGCUCAGAUAUCAUUUUCUGCCCAUCAUCAACUCCCGAAGCAUUAAACCUACUGGCCUGGUUCACUGAUUGUUGAAUUGUGGGUGCAGGUGGUUGAGCAAUGGGUAGAGAGUAGCCCACAGAUUUCUCAUUGUGAAGCUGAAAGCUUGACAUUCCAAACACUUGAGAAGAAUUACUGCGGUAUUGACAGUUCAUCUGGUGAUUGUUUCUUGCAGUUAUGUUGAGAAAGCCUAGGCGAUAAUCAUGAUACGGGCACUGUGGAUAUUCACAGGUGUAAAUUUUCUGAUUUAACAUCAUUUGUGGCUCUUCAGACAGCUGCUUCCUCUUUUGACCAAAAUCUGAGUUGAUCUCAAUCAGCUCUCCCUUAAUCUGAGGUACCAGCAUCUCUCUUUGACCAGUGGUUCCAAUGUUGAAGUGAUUUACAAGAGGUUUGCAAUCCUCUGUUUCAACAUUUUCGUCAUCAUCAACACCUUCGACAUCAUAAUCACUGGUACCACUGAUGGUGAGAGACCCACCACCAGCAGCCAGUGGAGGUGGACAUCUAUCAGGAUAUAACCUUCGGGCCAAAGCUUCCUCCUGGUUUAUAAUAGCUAGCCAAGUGGCGCUCUCCUUAGCAGUCAUUUUGUCUUGCAAACACUUGGACUGACGAACUAGCUUGCGGAUCUUGGCAAUAUCUGGUGACAUGUGCUUUAUCACAGCUGUGAGGACGCCAACCUUCCAAGCCUUCUUCAGAUCAUGAGGCUUCUUGUAUGGGGGAGGACCCUGAUCCUUGGGCAGAUUUAAUUGAGGCCACCAAUCCUCAUUACCAGUAGGCCACCAAGGUGGGGCAACACCUUUCUCCAAUGGGAAACGUCUUUGGGGUGGAUCACAGUGCUGCAUCAAAGCCGACAAAAGUGAACCAAGAGUGGUGUCUUGCAGCUCCUGUAAAGUGUGAGGAGUGGAUGCCACUACACUGCAGUCUUCAUUCUUCCCAGGGAUUGAAUGAUCUGCCUGAUACUUGGAAAUUGCAGCCGGGCCAUUACGAUCAAAUCUUACUUUUUCCUUCCACCAUGCUCGCAGAUUGUCUGAGGCGCCACUCACUGGUUUUCCUUUUUCUGGGAUAAUUCCAUAAACAAAACCCUGAGCUUUGCAAACUUCCAUCAUUUUCAGCAUAUAUUUCAGGAUCCCAUCUUGUGCCCGUGACAUCUUCUUCCUCCGAGCUUGUUCCUGUGAUUGACGCUGUCUCGCAUUGUCAACUCUUUCCUUUCCCUUAGUUUGUUCCUUCAGCCUCUUCAAUAGCAUUCGGUAUCUCCACAUCCUCCUCUCCAGCUCAUCAACAUCCAUUUCUUCAUCACUAUAAUCCUCCUCCACAGUUGCCUCAGGUUCAUGCUCUGGAGCUGCUUCGCCUUCCCCAGAUGGAGCCGAAAGAAAGUCAAGAUUACCACAGAAACCCAUUUCUUCAAAGAUCCCCAUUAGCACCAACACAAAAAACAACCCUGAUUAUAUAAACGGGUAAUCAAAUGCACACCACGUCAACUUCUCUGCCCUUUUCUCACUCUUUAAAAGAUUUCCAAUCUUGCGCACAGUUAUUAGCUUUAAAAUCUCUGAAAGCCAAGGUCCACCGAUAAAGGAUACUCAACCCAACGAAAUCAAAUCUUCUGCAACUACAAUAAAUUACAAUAACUCAGUUAACCACACAAUUGUCGCAAAUCAUAAAUCAGGUACAUUGAACUAGCAGUAAUGAUAAUUCAAUUAAGUAAAUAAUUUUAUAAAUACAAUUAAUCACAAACAAGUAACACAAUAAACAAUUCGGAUUCACUUACACAAACAUACCAUAAAUUAUAUGGGCAACAAACCAAACAAAUAAUGCAUGCAAGCAAACAAAGUAACGUGACGGAUCUCCUGUUUUCACAUUCAAAACGUAAACAAAAAAAGAACCAAAAGAUAAUCCCAACACAUGGCCCUUGUCACUACAAGCAACAAAAGAAGUGACUCUCAAAUAACCGAGCAAAAAGAGAAAACAAUAAAAAAAGGAAAAUAAAAUAUCCAUCAUCAUCCCGAAAAUCAAGAGGUAGUCACAAAAAAAACCAAAUUUAAGUUACACGUAACACCCUGCAACUUCGAACACCGCUACCAUGUAGAGAACCAGGCACCUCCAGAUCUACUAUCAUCCAGAUUCAUUUUCCUUACAGUAACACGUUAUUGAUGAGUAUUGAGAGGACUAAGUUUUGGGUUUUUAAUUUUUGUUUACACAAACUGAUAUAGCUUAUAGCACAGGUUUACAGCAAAUUUAUCACAUAUCUAAGCAACAUAAUUCACUUAUUAAUCCUUUUUAUCAUCAUUUAAUAUAAAUCCGAAAAUUCAGGGUAGCCGACUUUCGGAUCAAAAUUUCCAGGUGCUCCUAAGUACGGGAUACUCCGGGUGUUUUAAUCAUUAGAUCUUGGUUUUUGUAUUUUUAAGCAAAGAUCAAAGGCUGUUCAUUCGCAUCCCUCCGUCCAGAUUCAAACUACUCACAUCAAAAUUUUGUGAAAAAAACAGAUUAAAACAAAACAAAGCAGAAAAAACCCUGCAACUAAAAAGAUCAAACAGAAAAUACAAAAAACAAUAUAUAUAUUUAUAUGGUAAACAACAAAAACAAAACCCAGAUAAACAUGUAGAUGCAAGUGAAUAAGAGAAGAACCCUAGAGUUUCUACAAAUCAGAUGCAGUAGGAGCAAUCAGAUCAACCAUCAAAACCCUUGAAAAGUCACAAGAUUUAACAACAAAUAUAUCUAUUUAUUAAUUAAUAUGCAGAUAAGAACAUGUUAACAUAAACCCAAUAUACACAGAACAAUCACAAACAAAACAAUCUAAGAAAAAAAGAAAAGCAGAAAAUGAAGGUACCUGAUUGAUGGAUAUCAAGCGGUGGUAUAAGGCAUUGAAGCUCCUCAAGCACUCUCUGAUUACUCAGAGAGGGGGAGAGAGAGGGAGAGAGAGAGAGAGAAAGACACAGAAUUUUUAUCCUUACUGGUCAGAGGAGAGAUAGAGUUUAGUGGGUUUUCUUUUCCUAUGUUAAUGGCAGAAGAAAAUGAGAGAAAGAUAGAAAGAUGGCUGGGUGGGUGGGUGUGUUGGGGAGGGACAAGGAUAUGAACAAGCAAAGCAACGGUAACAGUAACUUUUCUUUUUGGAAGGUGAACUAUCUAACUAGGGUUAGGUUAUCUUUUAACCGUGGUUAAUACGUGGGAAGGAACCACGUGGGGAGACUUUAUUUUUCUUGUCGUUCUUUUUGUUUGUACACUUUUCCCUUCCCUCAAGUCACUUGCUACCUUACGAAACGUGCGCAAAUACUAUUCAAUUCAAAUAGUCAAGUCAUUGAUGUUUACGUUUGGUCAAACCAAAUUUUACCUAAUGUUCUGUAUAUCCAAUUUUAGCUUGUAAUUAUAGAAAAGGAUCUGAUCCGAUCUGAUCCUUUUCUUAGAGAUCUAAAGAAUUCCGUAAUCGUAAUCAUUCAUCGUACAUUGUGCAACUGAUAGCAAAAUUUAAAUUUUCUAAUUAAAUAUAAAUAGUACCCCAAAUCCUUUUCUAGUAAUUAUGUUGUGAAACUCAUCACAAAAGACUAGACUUUAUAUUAUUUUUAAAGGAGAAGUUAAAUACGUCAAUUAAGACUAAAAGACAUUAAGAUUUUUAAAGUGAGAUGUCAUAACUGGCGGAUAGCUGAGUUUUUUUUUUUAAUCAAACGAUUAUCUACACUAAAGGGUCGAGAGAAUAGGUUAAGUCUCAAAAUGAGCUAGCAAUAAUAUAGUUCAACUUCGCAUUUAGCAAAAAUCAAACUUAAAAUCUCUCACUUAUAAGUGAAAAUGAAUACUACUAAAUAAUAAUAAUAAGUGGGGACAAUUGAGUUAUCUGAUUUCUUACUUUCAAACUGUCUUUAUUGAUAACAAACAAAAAUAGAGUUAAACGCCUUUAAUUUAUUUUUACAUAAAUCACAUUGACAACCAAUGAUUAUGAUAACUGAAAUCAAUUUUAGUUAUAUUUUAAUAGUUAAUGUGACCAUUGGCCCAAUGUAUUAAUAAAAAAGUAUUUGACACAUUCAUUCGAGGAAGAAGAUUUAACAUAUAUAUUUAAGAUAAUUUUAACGAAAAUAUCCUGGUACUGUUUAUUUUAACAAAAAAUCACAUUUUUAUACUAAAAAGUCAAUCAUGGUACUAUUCACUUUACCCUUUAUUUUGUCCUUAUCGUUAAAACUCAAAGUUUUCAAAUAUUUUUCAUUAGUUUUCCUUAUAUUUAAGGGAUGUGCUAUCCACACACCCUUUUUUAUUUUUCACACACCCCUUUCAAAAACCAAAAAGGUGUGAGAGAAGUAAAAAAGAGUGUGGAUAUCACACCCCAUAUUUAAUUGGCUACAUUAAUCAUUAAAUAAAAUUUUGACAUAUUAUAUUUAACAUCAAUUUUUUUUAAUAUAAUGAUAUACUAAAUUGUAGUAUUGAACAGUAAUCCACACAUUAUGAGUAAUACUACAGUUAUCGCAUAUUUUUAUCAUCUCUCUAAUAGAGAUAGGGUCCACAAAUACAUGUGAGUCGCAUCUCUAUUAGAUAGUACCAAUGAUUUUAUAAAUAUGUGGUAAGAGUAGCAUUUUUGAAAUAUUAUUAUUAGACCUACUACAACCCUUGGAGUAAAAUUCAAAUUUUAAGUCCUAAACCUACCCAACUUGCUCCAACCCUUGGGCCAAAUAUGAGUUUUAAUCCAAAAUUCAUUAUUUGGGCAAAUUAGAUCAAAAUAUCAUCGGGUCAUUGGCCUGGCGCACCAUAUAUAUGUUUUUAUUUUAAUAUUUAUAAAUUCAUUGAAUUCAAUGGCUAAGAUAUAAUAUAAUCAAAUUUAAUGGUAAAAAAAGAGCUAAAUGUCCAAAUUUAAAUCCAAUGGCUAAAAUAUUUAAAAAUAUUCUUUUAGAGCAACUCUAGCGUUGCAAAUGCCCUAGGGCUAUUCACUAUUGAAUCCACCCAGUAAACAGUAACUGCCCUUAGUGAACAGUAACUGUCUUGCAUCUCCACCCAUACACUGAAUAACACUGGCAAUAGGCAAUAAAAUAUUAGUAUUUUUUUAUUUAUAAAAUAAUACAAAAUAAUUUUAUUUGUAAUUUCGGAUAAGGUAUCAUGAUCGUCAUUGGUAAGAAUACACACAGAUUCCACACCCAUCCAUAACCACCUACUCGAAGUCUCCACUGAUUCUGGCCAAUAUUCUAUUGUCGGCGCCAUUUUUAAUUCCAAUCUCCGUUUACCUCUCUGUCCUCCAUUCUCUCUCAUCGUCUUCCUUUUUUGUCUCUCUUGUUUGUUUCUCCAUCUCCCACCAUAUCCACCGCACGGGUGGUCGAAAUCUUGCAGGCCUUCGAAUCAGAGUCGGUGUCGUCGAUUUUAGUUAGAGAGAGAGCGAUUGUUUGAGGCAAAAUAGAGGAGGAUGGAGAAACAAACAGAGACAAAGAAAGAGGAGAUGGAGGGAUGCCAACGUCGGUGAGAAGAUCGGAAGUAGUGGCGUCAAGGUCGAUGGGUGCCUUAAUAACAUGGAUGAUGUUGCCUUGACGUCAGCCUUGCAUCAUCUCCACCUUGGGCUCUCAAGCCAGCGAUUCCUGCCAGGCCUCUCCCUUGGGCCCCCUUUCAUCCACACGCCUUGCAUGGGUAGGAGCUUGUAGCUCUGGCUAUUGGGUUGGUGGAAUGGCUAGUCCAUCGGGCUAAAGAGCACGGUGGAGUUGCUCUUAGUGUUCCACCAAUUUCAUUGUGUCAGUUUAGCUAUUUUUUUAAUAUUUAUCAGAAUCUAAAUAUUUAGGUUAAAAUGUUCAUAAAGUUAAUAGACAUUGAAGAGCCUUUGACUCACACCACACGGUGUGACAACGUCUCACUAAUUUUUCCUUUGUGGUUGCAAGAACAUCAGAAUGAUUCUAUGCUUGUGGAAUUCGUUCUCCACAUUGUAAAGAAAGAAACUCCGAUUAACUUCAUAGCUAGACUAAUGCAGGUGAGCAUGGGGCAAUUUGAUUUUUUAUUUUAUAUACUAAAUUAUAUGUUUGGCUUUUUUUUUAUAUAAAAUACAGAAAAUGAAAUGACAUGAACUUGGGUUUUACUUUUAAUUGUAAAAGCUUAUUCAAAUGUGCGAAAUUACUAUUUGAACUACAUUAUUAUUAUCUCAUUAUGAUACUUAGCUCAUUUUUUUAUUCUCUUAAUAUAGAUAAUAUUGUUCAUUCAAAAGAAGAAGAAAAAAUGCUUAUUCAAAUGUGUGAAAUUACUAUUUCAUCCUUUAAAUUGUUUUAUUCUAGAAACUAGAGACAAAGUUUGCCUCUCCCCUUAUACGUAGAGAAGACGCCCUCAUCUAUAGUGGUAAGCAAUGCAGUUGACUCAACCAUGUUAUUCAAAUUUAAUAAAAAUGCGUAAAUAAUCACAUGUCAACAACUACAUUAGAUAUGGACAAUAAACCUACCUCAUUAUUUGGCUUCUUCUUUUUAUAAAAGGUGACAAACAAUAUGAACAUUUAGUAAUGUAAAUAAAGUGAAUUACCAAUUUAGUCCUUGAAUUAUUACCUUAAUGAAAAUGAGAUCUCUAAACUAUUUUUUUAGAAAAAUCAAUCUUGAAAUUUUAACGAUCUGCCAAUUCAUCCCUAAUAUUAUAUUCAAACCUACUAUGUUCAAUUUUCCAUCAAUUUAAGUCACAUUACUUGCAUGUGAUACACAUUGGAGGGUAAAUUGGUAGUUUUACAUAAAGAAAUAGUGUAUGAAGUUAACUUUGGAGGGUAAAUUGGUAGUUUUUCAUACAAAAUAGUGUAAGUUAACUUCAGAGAGUAAUUUAUUAGACAUUAGAUUCGCAACCUAUAUGAAGUGUUAAGGGCUUGUAGCCGAGAAAAUAACGAUAUUACACUUUAAAGUGUGCAAGUGACUUAAGUUGAUGAAAAAUUGGAUAAAAUAGCUUUGAAUAUAAUAGUAGGGAUGAAAUUAGCAACUUUUAAUGAAGUUAGGGAUGUAUUUUACCAAAAAAUAAUUUAAGGACUUAAUUUUCAUUGAGGUGAUAGUUCAAUGACUAAAUCGACACUUCACCCAUGUAAAUAAGGUAUAAGUGGUAAUUUGUCAAAAUGGUUGACGAUAUAUCUAAAGGGGUGUGAUAUCUACACACCCCUUUUUAGUUUUCGGCCGUCGGAUCGGAUGAAUUGAAGAAGAUCAACAGACAUAAAUUAGUAAGGGGUGUGUGAGAAGUAAAAAGGGCUGUGUGGUAAAUUAGUAAGGGGUGUGUGAGAAGUAAAAAUGGGUGUGUGGAUAGCACACCCCUAUCUAAAUUAUCCAUUAACAAAACUAAAGGAAAAAAAAAACUAAAAUAAAAAUUAUGGCCAAUAUGGUAAAUUAAACACAACAUUUUUUUUAGAAAGCCUCACAAUCAGGUAAUCAUAUCAGUUGCCUCAUUUUCUCUUCCACAUUAUUCUUCCAAAUAAAAUAAACUUUUAGCGAUGAAAUAGUUAUUUCGAAAUAGUCACUAAAGAUAUGAACAACCUCCUCAUCGAUAAAAUCGUUUGAAGGUCAUACCAAAAAAACUUUAUCGACUAUUAUAUAUAUAUAUAUAUAUAUAUUUGUAAAUUUUAUUUUUAAAAAUUUUAAAAUCACAUGCUUCGUCACUAUUCUAAAAAGCGGUCUAGACACCCGCUUAGGCGAUGGCCAUUGGGCCGCCACCGCGAUUAUCCUAAAAACGUUCAAUAAAUCGGCAAGGGUAUUAGGCGGUCCCUAGGUGGUCGACUUGGCAUGCUAGGCGGCCGUGGUGGCGGACUAGGCAGUUUUGUUCUGUCUCGCCAUUUCACUACAUGUCGUAGAAAAGGAAUAUACAUCAUAAGAUUUGAAGAGAGAGCAAGAUAGUGUGAGGGAAGAGAUAGAGAAUUGUAGAAGAAAUUAAAAAAUAGAUAUGUAAUAUCAUGAAAAAAACGAGAAUUUGAUUUGGACGCUUGAGGUUUCUUUGCCUGGACAUGCAACGUUUGGGGAGUUUUUUUGCUGCUUAGGAAAUUUUGCAGAGCAAAAUAAAUGGAGAAUUAGGUGGAGCGAUCGAACAAAACGAGGAAGAGGACACGGAACAAAACCCAAAAUCAAAAACUUUCGGCUUUUCAAGUCUCAAAAACCAACUCUCCGGUUUCCAAGGCCUUAUCUACACCACAUAUUAAUAAAACCCUGGUUGUCAACCAAAACUUCAUGAAAUUACCAUUUUAACCCCCUCACUAAGACUGAACUCAAUUAAAAAAUUAGGUAAUUUAGUAAUUACAUGAACAUAAAUUUUACUGUUUUUUACAGCAACCUCACAACCAAGUUAGUAUAACAUGCCCUAUUUAAAAAUUUAAAAUAAAAUAAAAAGUAUUCACAUGUUAGAAGAAACCACUCAUCAUUAUCCCAAUUUUCAUAAUAGAAUUUUUUUUUUUAGAAUUUUAAAAACUAAUUCCUCUUCAUAAUAAAAAAAAAGGAAAUGAAAUUGUUCGCACACAGUGUCACAGCUCGUCCCAAAUUUCUAUUAUCGGUGAUGUAAAUGACGGUUUUAACCUUGGACGUUGAACCUUGUAGUGUGUGUGUGACUUAUUUUGGAGACUUAAAUGUUAAUUUUUGUGGUUUUGGAUUGGUGACCCACGUGGACCACACACACAUACAUAUUAUCCCUAUCUAUUUCCUCCCGUGCUCUCUCUCUCUUUCAGACUUUCUCUCUCUUCUCUCUUGUACGAACGACACCCUAGACCUUUCAAACGUGACAGAUCGGGGGACUUAAGCACACCAUUGUGUUCGUGAAGCUCAGACGAAUCGAUUGGUACCAUUUUUAGGUAAGGAAACCUUCGAUUUCACGUGGAAACCCUAGCUCCAAUUUUGGUCACUGUUCAUGUGGACGUAAAAUCUUAUGUUUCAGGGAAUUUUAAGGACAUAGGAAGCUUUAGGACGUCCUUGUGAGGCUCGGAGAUGAAAAAUGGAGUGAAUUGGACGUCGGAGGACUGUGAUCGAAACACUACAAGUUUGGCCGAAAUUAUCGAGCUUGCUCAGGCGUGAUUCAGUGGUUUUCGAGGCUUCAAACAGGUAUAAUGUCGUUCUUCUCAUCUCCAGCUUUCCAAUGGUUCAAGUUUCAUGAAAAAUGGUGAAGAAACGAAGAAGAAUAAGCUUUUUAAAGAUUUACCCAGAAACUGGUGAAGUCGCCGGCGUCUGGUGACUCGUUGGAGAAGAAGGUGGCAUAUUCCGUCAAAACUGACGGAAUAUGCUAACAGCGUUAGCUGAUGCCGUUAAGAUUCUAACGGAAUAUGCUAGAAGUUAAAAGAAUAUUCCUGACGGCGUUAACUGACGCCAUCAGCGUGCCUGGCAUGUGCCCGCGCGUGGGCGGCGCGUCUAGCUGUGCCUUGGUCGACGCGUGGCCUGUCAUACAGACCUUUAUUAUGAUUCCGACUCCUAGAUGACUAGCGAUUUAUCGCCCAACUAUUAUGUGUGAGUAGUAUUGAGCAUGAUUAUAUUACACCCAUUAUUGUCGUACAAACCUUUUCAUUUGGUUCCGACUAUUGUGCAGUAUAAUGCCGUAUAGGUCAUUGUAGUGACUCCGACUAGAUUGACUUUUGAGCUAUGAAUUCAGCCGUACAGACUACCACAGGGGUUCCGGCUAACAUGUUAUAUUUAUAUGAAAUUAUUCUCACCUGAAUUGCUUACUCUGUUAUAUCUUGACAUGGCAUACAUAUGAAUAUGAUAUUGUGAAGCAUGAUUUGAAUUAAUAUAUAUAUAUAUAUAUAUAUGUAUAUGCUUAUAUUCUGAUUCUGGGAAAAAUUAUACAAGUUUUACAGCGAGGGGUUAGAAAUGUUGAUAAAUGAAAUGGUUUUGUAAAACAUUUGUUUUUGCCCACUCAUGCUUUCUGUUUUGCGCCCCUCCAGGUUUUAGGUAAGCUUGCUGUCGGUGGCCUUGAGGAUUUCGGCGGCUCUGAUUAGGAGUACUUACUUUUGUAUCUUACUCCUAUCACUUCUUGUUUAGAAGUGCACUCUAGUAGAUUCGGUUCUAAAUAUUCGUAUAUUUCUUAUCCUUAAUGCUUCCUCACUUUGCACAUGGCUACGUCACCCUCACGUGACGACCAACAUGCCUUGAUCUCGGUCGGGGUAUGUCAGUUUGGUAUCAGAGCCUAGGUUUAACAGUCCUGUAUAGUUCUUGAAAUUCUUAGGAGAAUGUUUUAUUAUUUUCUUUUUCUUUUUUAGAUCACACCAUACCUAAAACUUUCACAUUACAUAUAUAUAUUCUUCACAUAAAAAUAACAUAUUAUUCAUGUUUAUUUAUAUAUUAUAAGAUAAAUUUAGUUUAUUUAUACGAUAUAUGAUAUAUUUACUUAAAUCCGUAUAGACCGUCUAGUCGUUAGGCGCUAGACCCCAUUUCGCCUCCUGACUAGCGCCUAACGUCUUUUAAAACCUUGUUUAUAGUAUGUGUACAAUUACUAGUUAUUACUUCAAUUAUCUAUUAAUUAGAGUUUUUUUGUGUAUCCUUCAUCUUUCAAAUUGAGAGAGUUUGUAUUUUUUUUUUCACAAGCGACAUUAGAAAAUAUGAAAAAUCAAACACAAGACUUUGAGUGCAAAACCAAAUGCAGAUGCGUCGAAAAAUGGGUCAAUGAGCUCACAUGACUCAAAUAACUCUAUAUUACUCCUUGUAAUUCCUACCAGUGAUGUAAAUUUGCCACUAAAUCAUAUUUUUAAGGGCAAAAUUUUUACCUCCAAAGCUUUAUUUAACCUUUCAUUUCAUGACUUUUCAAUCAUGAAAUCAGCUUGAGCUAUAAGUCUCUUGCAUUUGAAAGUGUAGGCAAUUAGUGGAACUGUAAAAAAAAUAAAAUAAAAAAUGCAAUGGUGAAGGGACGCGUCGAAACGUGCGAGAGAGAGAAUUGUCAAAACGUGGAACAACCAAUUACAUAGAUUACUUUAAAUAAUAACUAGUAUGGGCACACACAAAGGGCUCCAGAUCCGCUGUCCCGAAAAUGAUGUCUCCUUCAUGUCUCUUUCUUUAUUUUUUGACAUGUGUACUACCACCUAACUCUAAUUUAACUCUGUUAAGUUUUACUAAAUUAAAAAAAAAAAAUUAGCAGAAGCAACUCCUAGUUUCCAGUCCCUCUGUCCACACACACGCCCACCCCUCCCCCUCCCUUACGCCAGCCCACAGCCAAAACCCCUCCCUUUCCCCCUCCCCUUCCCUUACUCAUCGCAGCCUGACCGUCGUGGACUUGAAACCUGGUACGAACGACGUCAAGGCGGCGAGUCCAGCGAUGGCACCGGCACCAACGGUUUCGCAUUGCCACUACGAUGUCGACGAAAUUUGUAUUUCACGACAGAUCUAGAAGAUUUCAGUGAGAUUGGUGUUUGAAAAUUCUAGAGAGAUUUGUCCCAAACCUUUUGACUUUUCGACCAAUAUGAUUAAAAAAGCUAUGUGAAUCUUAAGCCAAGUGAGAAAGGGGUUUGGCUGUGGGCUGGCAACGAGUAAGGGAAGGGGAGGGGGACGGGCUUUGGCUGUGGGUUGGCGUAAGGGAGGGGGAGGGGUGGGUGUGGGCAGGGACUGGAAACUGGGGAGUUGCUUCUGCUAAUAUUUUUUUUUUUUUACUUUAAUUUUUUUUAAUUCAGUAAAAGUUAACAGAGUUAAAUUAGAGUUAGUGGUAGUACAUGUGUUAAACAAAUAAAGAAUGAGACAUGAAUGAGACACCACUUUCGGGACAGCACAUCCGAAGCCCACACAAAGUGUGUGAGAAAUUUUUUUUUAUUUUUGUUUUUGAAAUAGAAGGAGAUAGGAAGAGAGUGAUAAAGAACGUGGGAGUGAGAAUUUUUUUUUUUAAUUAGAGAUAUGUUAGGAUUACAUGUAAGUGAGACUUUGAAAAGAAAAAAAACAGCAAAAUUUGGUUUUGUGAAAUUACAUUUCUGCCCCAUAUUUCUUAUUCAUGUUCUGUUUUAAUUAGAAGGUUAAACUGGGGGUUAAACUGGUAAUUUCAUAGAGUUUUGGAUGACAAUGAGUGUUUUAUUAAUUAGUAAAUAUAAGAGUACUAUUAAGUCCACUCCAGUGUCUUAUUUCCCCACCUACUUUGAAAUAAUAAUUUUAUUCAUCUAUCCUAAUGUUGCUAAUUGCUUAAUUUGUUUAUGACUUUAGGUACUAGACUGGGAUGAAGACAAUUUGAUGUAUGAAAUGUUGAAAACAAAAAAACUUCAGGGUAGUAAACUGAGAUCAACCCUAAAAAAUAAUUAAAUAAAGAAAUAUUGCCGCUUAGCACUAUGGUAUAGUAUUAUUCCUCACUAGUAAGUGAGAGGUCUUAUGUUCGAAUCUCUUUAAUACCAAUUUAUCUCCCCACCUCCCUAGUGUAAAUAUAAAAUGAGUUAUAUAUAAGUAAAGGGAGUGUGCGUGCUAUGAUUUUAAUUAGAGAAUUGCUUAGUAUGCACCAAUGUAUAUUAUUUAUCAAAAUCUGUGACCGUUGAAUCGUUGAUGUGGAUCUGUUAGUGCACAUUAAUGCUUCAUUUACCUCAUACAUAUUAUACAACAAAACAUAGUAAAAUUUCGAUUAAUUAGACUAAAAAGUUUGAAAUAUCUCAUAAAAAAAAGAUUAAAAAAAAAGAGACAAAUAUACGUAAAAAAUGACCCAUUUUCUUAAUCUUUAGACUAAAAUAAGACAAACCAAUUAUGCACACCAUACCAUACACAUCAAAUUUUAUUCAUUUAUCCUAAUAUUGCUAAUUGCUUAAUUUGUUUAUUGUACAAACCUCUUGUGUGGAGCUUGGGCUGGAAACAUUUUCUGCUUGGUGCCAUGGCUGAGGAUUUGAGGGUGUUGGUAGUUACAAUUAUGGGAUUUUAUAGGGAGGGAGCUGCUGCUUGCUGGUGAUAUUUGAAGUUCUUUUUUUUAGUACAUCGAUAUUUUUAUAUUAUGGGAAAGGAGAGUUUUUUAGUAAUGAUGAUUUUUUUUUAAAAUUAUAAUAAAUUUUCAAAGCAAGGAAAAAUUGAGGAAAAAAUAUGCAAGGUUAUUUUGGAAAUAAUGGUAGGUGGGAAAAGAGUUUAUGUAUUUUUCAACUUUUUAUGGUGAAUAUAAAUAAAGGGUAAAAGACUGUUUACUAUCCUCAUGUUUCGUGGUUUUCAACAUUUAGUACAUCAAGUUUUUUUCGUCUCAGAUUCAUACCUAAAGUGUAAAUUUUGGGAUAGUCUCAUACAUCCGUUAGUCAGACUGUUAAGUCUCCCGUUAACUGUGACGUGGCGCUCAUGUAGACACUAACUGAGCGCCACGUGUCAUCCACGUUUUUUUUUCCUUCUUCUUCUUCUUCUUCCUCCGACUGCAACUUUUUUUUUUGUUUUUUUUUCCUUCCUCCUCCUUCCUUCCUCCUUCUUCCUUUCCCUUUCUUCCCCUUCUUCCUUCUUCUUCCUUCUCCUUCUUCUUCUUCUUCUUCUUCCUCCGAAUCUGGGGAAGGUUUUUUUUUUUUUCUUCUUCUUCUUCUUCUUCCUCCUUCUUCCUCCUUCUUCAUUCUCCUUCCUCCUUCUUCCUUCCUCUUCUUCUUAUUCUUCUUCUACUUAUUCCUCCGAAUCUGCCCAGAUUCAGUUUUUUUUUUGUUUUUUCUUCAGUUUUUUUUUUGUUUUUUCUUCUUUCUUCUUGCUUCUUCUUCUUCUUCCUUCUUCUUCUUCCUUCUCCUUCUCCUUCUUCUUCCUCCGAAUCUAGGGAAGUUUUUUUUUCUUCUUCUUCUUCCUCCUUCUUCCUUCUCCUUCCUCAUUCUUCCUUCCUCAUUCUUCCUUCCUCUUCUUCUUCUUCUUCGUCCUUCGAAUUUGCCCAAAUUCAGUUUCUUUUUUCUUCUUUCUUCUUUCUUCUUCUUCUUCUUCUUCCUCCGACUACAACCUUUUUUGUUUUUUUGUUUCCUUCCUCCUUCUCCUUCUUCCUUUCUCCUUCUUCCUUCCCCUUCUUCCCCAUCUUCCUUCUUCUUCCUUCUCCUUCUCCUUCUUCUACUUCUUCCUCCGAAUCUGGGGAAUUUUUUUUUUCUUCUUCUUCCUCCUUCUUCCUUCCUUCCCUUCUUCUUCUUCUUCUUCUUCCUCCGAAUCUGCCCAGAUUCAAUUUUUUUUCUCUUUUUUCUUCUUUCUUCUUCUUCCUCCUUCUUCCUCCUCCAACUACAACUUUUUUUUUCCUUUCUCCUUCUUCUCCUUCUUCCUUCCUCCUUCUUCCUUCUUCUUCUUCUUCUUCCUCCGAAUCUGGGGAAGAUGAAGGUUUUUUUUUUUUUUGAAGAAGAUGAAGAAGAAGAAGAAGGAGAAGAAGAGGAAGGAAGAAGGAGGAAGGAAGAAGGAGAAGAAGGAGGAAGAAAAAAAAAAGUUGCAGUCGGAGGAAGAAGAAGAAGAAGAAGGAGGAAGAAGGAGGAAGAAGAAAAAAGAAAAAAAAAAUAGAAUCUGGGUAGAUUCGGAGGAAGAAGAAAAAGAGGAAGGAGGAAGGAUGAAGGAGAAGGAAGAAGGAGGAAGAAGAAGAAAAAAAAAAAACUUCCCCAAAUUCGGAGGAAGAAGAAGGAGAAGGAGAAGGAGAAGGAGAAGGAUGAAGGGGAAGAAGGGGAAGAAGGAGGAAGGAAGAAGGAGAAUGAGGAAAAAAAAAGUUUAUGUCGAAGGAAUGAGAAGAAUAAGAAGAAGGAAGAAGGAGAAGAAGAAAAAAAAAACGUGGAUGACACGUGGCGCCCAGUCAGUGUCCACAUGGGCGCCACAUCACAGUUAAUUGGAAACUUAACAGUUUGACUAACGGAUGUAUGAGACUGUCUCAAAAUUUACACUUUAAAUAUGAAUCUGAGACGAAAAAAACUUGAUGUAUUAAAAUGUUAAAAACCACGAAAUAUGAGAGUAGUAAACAGUCUUUUACCCAUAAAUAAAAAUAGGUGGAAAAAUAAGACAUUAGGAUGGAUAUAACACCACUCGAUAGUAAUCAUAAUCAGUGGAUUGACUUUAUCAUAAUAGCCUUGAUGACUUUUUUAAUUCCUAAUUUGGGUGAAUCAAUCCCACCCACCCACGUAUAUACGAGACAACCAAGCAGUCAUCAGCCACGUUAGCACCCAUUAAAUAUUCGAAAACUACAAACCACGUGCUUAACUGUUCAUCGCACUACGGUAUCAAAUUAUUAUAAUUAUAUUAUUGAGAAGAGCUUAGCUCCUUAAGGUUGGAAACAAGCCACUUUAAAAUAUUUUGCGACCUAUUUAUAUAAUUUCUUGUUAUAAUCAAAAUUGUUCGUCUUUAUAAAAAAUAAAAAAUAAUAUUAGAAUAAUAUUAGGAUGUUCAAAAUUUCAAACUAAAUGAUAGGUCACUAAUUGAAAAUAAGCGUGUUGAUCAACAUUCAGUAAUAAUAUAAUAAUCAACAUCCACAUCAUUUGAUUUACAAAAUUUAAUUUAUAAAUUUGAUUUCUCUAACAUUACCCUUAAAAGUAAUAUCGUUAGGUGAUUUAUAAAAUAAACAAUUUUGAUCAUACAGUCCAAGUCAUGUGAAGGCCACGAAACAUUUUGAAGAGGAACCCGUUCUCAAACCUUAAAAACUGAGCGGUGGAAAAUUCUGUAAAUAAGUCACGGAACAUUUUGAAUAGGAACUCUUCCACAACUUAAGAAGCCAGGCUCUCUGUAUUGUUUAGCUCAGUCGGAAUCAUUAUUCCUUGGUGCAAAUUAUCAUUAUAUUGUGACAUAUAUAAUAGUUUGAUUUCACUUAACAUUUUGAAGAGGAUCUUUACCUAACUUUGACCCCUUUUCAGUCUCUGCCUGAUUUUUCCCGGUCCUAAGAUUCCUAACACGGAAGACCAAUCUGAUUCACAUGAUACCAGUAUCAUGGCUUCGAGGGACCGAAUUCAGUUGUCUCGUAGAAUAAUACGACUCGAUGAGAACCACUUACAAGGCACAGUGCACCGUCACGGAGCACUAUCAUAAGGCGUCUCAUAUCAAUAAAACAAUACUACACAAACAGAAUCUUAUACAUGCAUGUUUUUAUUUUAUUGACAUAAAACUCCACCAUGAUGGUACGCUUGUGUCAUGUAAGUCCUCAAAAAACUGUGUGCUUGUAUCAUGUAAGUCCUAAAAAACUGUGUGUUUGUGCCAUGCAAGUCCUCCAGCGACCAAAAACUGUCCAAAACAUUUCAACAGAAGUACUGUGUCUGUGUAUAAGAUUGGGUUCUUUCCAGGCCCUUAUAGGCCCUGCUCAAUACUGCACUGAGAACAACUAUGAAACCUAGACUUGGAUGACAAAAUUGCAGUACUAGAAACUCCCCAAAAUUUGUCAAGGGUUUAAAACAUCUAAAAAGUCCAACCGAUAAAAAUAAACCACUAACUUGAGAAGUUUCACCGAAUCGGGUCCAAAACUGUGUCUAAAAAACCUAAAGAAAACUGAACUAUCACGAGACAACCUGAACUGUGUCGAGAAAACAUCCCUCCCCCGCUCACGAACAUAUGAACAUCCUUAUUCAUAUAUUGGAGCGCAAUGCAAGAAAACCCAGCUUCAACGACACAUCCAGAAUGGAUCUUGCUCCAGCAUCGAGUCAAGACUAUAGUCAUCUCGCGGCAAGUUGGUGCCAAAUCCUAAGUUGUCAGUAUUAUUGGGAUGAUUACCAAAUGGAGAAUCAAACAAGGUGCACGGAUCAAACUGAAAUUCUGUGGAUGGGAGAGAUGGAGGAGCUGGAGUAGCUGGAGGAAGCAUAGGCAUAGGCAUAGGCGAUGCUUGAGACAUGUUGGAUCCUAUAACCAACCUUUCAUCAAAGAAGUUAUCACCCAUGGGAAAUUGAUAAUUCACCUGAUGCUGGUUGUGGUUUUCUACAACAUCGAGGCUUCCAGGAUCCGAGUUCUUGUUCUGCUGAAUAUUACCAUCACAGAAUGACAUAAACUCAGAUAUCAUAUUCUGCUCAUCCCCAGCAAGUUCAAGUCCGGAAGCAUUAAAACUACUUGUCUGGUUCACUGGUUGUUGAAUAGCUGGAUUAGGUUGAGGACUGGAUAAGGACCCCACAAGUUUGUCACUGUUAGGAUGAACGCUUGACAUUCCAACUUGUGAAGAAUUAUUCCUGUAAGAACACGUCAACUGGUGAUUAUUCCUUGCAGUUAUGUUGCGAAAGCCUAGGUGGUAAUCAUGAUACGGGCAAUCCAGAUAUUCGCAGGUGUAACCCUGAUGAUUUAGCAUCAUUUGUGGCUCUUCAGGCAGCUGCUUCCUCUUUUGACCAGAGUCUGAAUCGGUCUCAGUCAGCUCUGCCAUAAAAUGAUGCAUCAGUCCAUCUCUGUGUCCAGAUGUUCCAAUAUUUAAGUGAUUAAAAAGAGGUUGGCAGUCCUCUUCUUCAUAAUUAUCUUCAUCAUCAACCACUUCAACAUCAUAAUCACUGGUACCGCUGAUUGCAAAAUUAGACCCACUCCCAGAAGAUGAUGGAGGUGUACAUCCAUCAGGAUAUAACCUCUGGGCCAAAUUUUCCUCCUGGUUAAGGAUGGCUAGCCAAAUGGUGGUCUCCUUAGCAGACAUUUUGUCCUGCAAAUAUUUAGACCGAUGAACAAGCUUCCGGAUCCUGGCAAUAUCGGGUGACAUGUGCUUUAUCACAGCCGCGAGAACACUCACCUUCCAAGCCUUCUUCAGAUCAUGAGGCUUCCUGUAUGGGGGAGGACCCUGAUCCUUGCGCAGAUUCAAUUGAGUCCACCAUUCUUCAUUGCCAGUGGGCCACCAAGGUGGGGCAACACCCUUCUCCAACGGGAAACGUCUUUGGGGUGGAUGGCAGUGCUGCAUCAAAGCCGACAAAAGUGAACCAAGAGUGGCAUCAUGGAGCUCCUGUAAGUUAUGAGGAGUGGAUGGUACUGCAUUGGAGUCUUCAUUCUUCCCAGGGAUUGGAUGUUCAGCCAGAUACUUAGAAAUUGCAGCAGGGCCAUUAUGGUCAAAUCUUACUUUUUCCUUCCACCAUUCGCGAAGACUGUCAGACGCACCAGUCACUGGUUUACCAUUUUCGGGGAUAAUCCCAUAAACAAAACCCUUGGCUUUACAAACUUCCAUCAUUUUUAACAUAUAUUUCAGGAUUCCAUCUUGUGCCCGUGACAUCCUCUUCCUCCGAGCUUGUUCCUGUGGCUGACACUGCCUAGCAUUGUCAGCUGCUUCUGUUCCCUCAUUUUGCUCUUUAAGCCGCUUCAGUCGCAUUCUAUAUUUCCACACCCUCCUCUCAAGCUCAUUAACAUCCAAUUCGUCGUCACUAUCAUCCUCCUCCACUGUUGCCUCUGGGUCAUUCUCUGGGGCUGCCUCACCUUCCUCAGGGAAAGCCAAAAGAAAGUCAAGGUCGUCACUGAACUCCAACUCCUCAAUGAUCGCCAUCCACCACCAACACAAAGAACAAGGUUGAUUGUAUACAAAUAUAUAACAAUUGGGUAAUUAAAUACAGUCCACGCCAACUUCACCACCCUUCUACUCUUUAUAUGAUUAGCAAACCCAAAAACAAAUGAAAUCUUCUGCAAAUGAUAAUUACGAAUAACUCAGUUAAAGCCACAAUUGUCGCAUACGGGAGAUCAGGAACAUGGAACUAGUAACAACAACGUUACUUCAAUGAAAAUAAAAAGGAAAAUUACAUACUUUCACGGAUACGAUUAAUUGAAAACAUAAAAAGUAAUACAUUAAAGAAGUCAGAACCAUGUAGACAAGCAAAGUUAUAUAUAUUAAUUGAUCAUGAAUCAAACAAGUAAGAUUAACAAACAAAGAAACGCAACGGAUUUCCGCGGUUUUGCAUUCAAAACAAAAAAGAUGAAAAAAACCAAAGCAAAACCCUAAUACAAAAACCUUAUGCACAAAAGCAACAACAUCAGUUACAAACCAAAAACAAAAUGAAAAAUGAAAAAAAAACAAAUCAGCAACAUGAGGAACAUGAGAUCAUUAGAACAAAAACCAAAUGUUACAAGUGCAUACCCUGUAACUGCAAAAAACUUCCAAAAGACAAAGAACAGAACUGGGUGACAACAGGUUCAUCACACAACUAAUCAGUUUCAUAUUUUUUCACAAAACCAUGUUACUGAUUUUCAUGAUUUAACUCAAAAUGUUAUAGCUUGAUAUAAUGCAGGUAUGCAGCACAUAUUCCACCUACCUAAGCAAUAUAAUUCACCUAUUAAUUUGUUUGUUCAUUGUUUAACAUAGAUACGGAAAUUCGGGGUAGCCACCUUUCGGAUCAUAAGAUGUUCGAACUACAAAACUAUACCAUCAGCAAGUGGUGGAUUGCCCCGGUGGUCAGGGCCUUCCUAUUCAACCCAUUGCCCUUAGUGUGGUUUACUCUUGUACUAAAAAAACCACGCUAUCAAAUCCAAAGUUCUAGAAGAUUAAAAAUCAAAGAAAAACACGAAAAAUAAAAAAGAUCAAACAGAAACAAGAAAGGGUAAAUUCUCACACCAGGACCUGCAACUAAAGGAAGUAGAAUAUAAAAUACACACCAAGAGAAUAACCAGAUAGCAUAAACACAGAGAUCAACCAUAAAAAUACAUGAAAAUUCACACGAUGAAUAAGAUAAAAAUAUUCCUUUGACUAUUAUUAUUUUUUUAGUUGACAAGAAGACUGAGAAAUGAAACAAGUAGUUUAAGUAAACAAAUAAAAAGCAGAAAAAUGAAGGUACCUAUUUGAUGGGUUGGUAGGGGCCGAGGGAUGGAAGCUCCUCCCUCCUCAACACCCUCUGGUUCCUCAGAGAGAGGCAGAGAGGUUGUGUCCUGCUCAGGAGACAGAAAUGGAAGAAGAAAAAGACAGACAAAAGAAUUGGAAGCAAAAGUGAAAUUUUUGUCGGAGGGCGUGCUAUUUAACUAGACUCGGCUACGUUUUAACCGCGGUUUGAGACGUGGGUGGGUAACUUCUCCUUUUUCUUUUUUACUUUUGGUAAGCGGUACCUUUUGGUUUUUGGUUUUUUACUAUUUAGAGUAACUUGUAUAGCACGCAUACUACCGUUCCGCGUUGAUAAUUCAAAAUAUUAAUUUUUCAAUAUGGUUACAUUAUUGAUUUUCAAUGUACUAUGUACGUUCUUUCAUUUCUUUAAACUAAAACUCGUACUAAAGAUCAAACAUCCAUGUUAAUUUAUGUUCCAUCAUGUGCGACAAUAUUAUUAUUAUGUCACUUUUGUCAACUCAACAAAGUGUGACAAUUUCAUUAUAUUGCAAACUCAAUGUAUACAUCUCCCAUCAGGUGUGCUCGCUCGCCUCUUUUAACUCGAGCUCAAAAAUCCUCUUAGUAGUAGUUUAUUAAACUGUAUUAUAAAAAAUCAAUAAGUAAUUUUGACAAAAAUUCUUAAAUUUAUGUUAAUGUGGUAGAAUUUGGGUUUAAUUACUGCUCUGGGUGUUCCUUUUUUUACCAUUUACUCAUCUCACUAUUUUGAAGGAAGAGAAAAGUUGAAUGUUUAAGCUAAAGGAUACUUUUGUAUUUUCACUUCAUCUUUUAAUUAUAAUUUUUUUAAAUAAGCAAUAUUAUCUACACUAAAUAGAUAAGGACGUAGACUAAUAUAGAAGUUCAAAACGUUGUCCAAAAUUCUAAAUCGGGCACAAAACAUUGAUACCAAAUAUAGCGAAUAAUAAUAUGGCUGUUAUGGAUACCUAAUUAGCUUAUUUCAUUAAAGACAAUUUAUAUUCAACUAUCCAGAUGUAUUACUUAAUUAGCUAUUAUAUUUUAAUCUUAUCUAAGCUUUUAAUCUCAGCCGUUGAUAAAUAUUUAACAGAUAGAAUUGAAUGUUACCCCUACUGGUUUUUCUUUUCCUCUCUCCAUUAACAUAGGCAAGAACUUUUGGCUAUAGUGAUCUCUUCUUUUUUAGGAAAUAAACUUUAUUAAAAAAAGAAAAAAAGAAUUCUCGGGAACAAUAGGAGCUCAUAAAGUUAAAUAAAAACUGGAGUGCUUCACGAGGAAGCACUGAAGAAGCACCCGAUCUCAAAUACAAAUGUUGUCAAUAUUGUUACUAAUGAGUGUGAUAGCAUCAGUUAGGAAGUUUGCUUCUUUAUAAGUAGCAACUGAAUAGAAUUAAAAGAGAUCGUCAGAUAUUUGAUGUCCUCGAAAAUAGUAUUGAGCCUCCAAGAGAUCUUACAUCAGUCAAGAAUCUCAUCUAUAACUAUAUUGGAGUCACCUUCAAUUACCACAUCCUUGAUAUUUCUCUGUUUUGCAAAAAGAAGAGAAUCCCGAAGAGAGUCUCAGCUACAGUAAUAGUAUUUGAUCUUAGAUUGUGAGCUCCAACAACAAUUGGCCUUCAAACAGAAUCUCGAAUGAAAAUUCUCCAGCAGCUGAACCUCUACCCACUGGGCCAUCCAAGUUGAUUUUCAUAGUGUCUUCUCUUGGAGCUUUCCAUUUAGAAGUCUUCCCUUCGAAACACAAUCUCUUUUUUCGUGUCAUAUAGGAGGAAAUUUCAUCGUUUUGUUGUACUAAAUAGAUCCGUUGCUUUGUUACAACUUACAAUGUACAUAAAUGUUGUCGUAUUUCAAACUGCAUGUCACUUGCGUGUGGUUCAAGUUCGUAAAAGAUAGAGCGUUAAACUUUAAGGAAAAUUAACGAAAAGUUCAAAAAAACAUCUCUUUUAACGAAAAGUUAUUUUUAAAUGUAUAGUGAAUAGUGCCAGUUAAAGGUAAAAAUGUGGUUUUUCGUUAAAAGUGAACAGUACCGGAAGUGUUUUGUUAAAACUCCCUAAACUUUACCCAUGUAAUCCGGUACAUGCAACUAUGAUCCCUCAACUAAAAUUCUAUUACCCUUGGUCCCUCAACUUUAAUACAACUAGAUAAAUGGUUUCUCAACUUUAACCCAAUUGUAGCAAUAGUCCUUCUAACAUAACUCAUUUUGACAAAAUUCUGACAAAGUUAACGAAAAUGACUAUAGCUACACAUUUUGAUGAGUUGAGGGACCCUAAUUGUAGCAAUGAUCCUUCCAACAUAACUCAUUUUGACAAAAUUCUAAUAAAGUUGACGAAAAUGACCAUAGCUACACAUUUUGAUGAGUUGAGGGACUAAUGGUAAUGAAUUUUUAGUUGAGGAACCAUUACUCCAAUUUGAUUAAAGUUAAGGGACCAUUAAUACAAUUUACUAAUAAAAGUAUAGUGGAAAAUCUUGAGACAUUGUUUUGUCCGCAAAAUACUACAUAGUUAUAGGUUUUUGUUUUUCAUUUCAUAUGAGAUUUUAGCAACAUUAUUAGUAUUACCAGGUGUAUGGUCGUUGCAAUCAAGAUUAGUAAAUUGUUUAGAGUGAUACAAUGAUUAGUCCCUAAUUAAUCAGGGAGGCAAGAUCACUAUACUUGUAUUACAUAUGUGAUAUUAAUAGUGAGUUCAUGAAUAACACUUACAUGUAUAUGUUCUAAACUAAAUUUUAUAAACCAAAUGAUAUGAAUGUUAAUGAUUAGAUUAUUACUUAAGUGUUGAUUAACGUGCUUAUUUCCUAUUGGUGGUGAAAUUUUUAGUUGUGACAGGAAUACAAGUGGUACACCAAGUGUUUUAAUAGAAGUGGUGAAAUUUUUUAUUUUUUAAGUUAUUAACUUUUUAGCACACAUAUCCCACCAUUUGUAUAGUGACACGUGAUGUACUACCCCGUGUACCGAUCAUAUUGAAAAAUCUCUCCUAUUGGUGACACAUUAUUUGAUUUCUAAAUUUGAUUUAAAAUUUUGAUCAGCUUAGCAUUAUCCUGAAGUUAAAUACACCAUAUUCAUAUAAUAAUCUUGGAUGUAUGUGGGGGAAGAAAUCGGAGUGCACGAAUAAUACUUAUAACAUGUGAAGCACUCCAGUCUCCAGCAGUUGAAUGUUACCAAAAAUAGUAAAGUGCAAAGCACGUAGUACCGCGUUAGGCUACCAAUAUGUUUAUCCAAACCCUCCAUGUAUAUAUAUAUAUAAACACACACCCAACCACCAUCCCUUAUGCAAUCCUCGACCACAUAGGAAAAUCAUUUAGCAUUAUGUCUUCCAUCAAAUCCUAUGGCAAGAUUGAUGAAUCCGACCAAGCCCGGCUCGACGCUCGUAGGGAAACUCGAAAGAGAGUUGCCAUCAUAAGCCUUUCGUCCAUAGUUCUUGUCUGUGUCAUUGUUGCUGCUGUGGUUGGAACCACCGUUCAUAAUAAAUCUGGUGGGAACUCUAAAGGCUCGGCCAUCUCCACUUCUGUCAAGGCUGUUUGUGAUGUGACCUUGUACCAGGAUUCGUGUUACAGCAGUCUUGGUCCUCUGGUUAACUCCAACAAUGUUAAGCCUGAGGAGAUUUUCAAGUUGGCAAUUCAGGUGGCGAUCAAUGAAUUGUCGAAAGCCGCUACUCAUUUUUCGGCUGAUGGUGUUCUUAAUGCGACUGCCAAGGACACACAGUCUGUGGCAGCUUUGAAAGAUUGUCAAGACCUUUUGAGUCUGGCAUUGGAUCAUCUCAACGACUCAUUGUCUGACACUAAGUCGUUGGUUGAUGUGUUUGAUGAUCUCAAGACUUGGCUGAGCUCUUCAGGCACAUAUCAGCAGACUUGCAUUGAAGGUUUUGACGAUGUAAAAGGAGAACUCAAGGAUAAAGUUGUCGGCUACUUGAAGAACUCCAAUGAGUUAACUAGCAACAGCCUCGCCAUUGUCUCUUGGAUUUCCAAAGUCCUUAACUUAGUGAACCUAAGGCGACUUCUGACACACCCUGAUCCCACCGAUACGUACAGCCAGGGAGUACCAGAGUGGCUGCAUCGGAAGGAUCGCAAGCUGCUUCAGAGUUCGGAUUUGAGGAAGAAGGCAGACAUUGUCGUGGCAAGCAAUGGCAGUAGCAAAUACAAAACAAUUCAGGAUGCACUCAAUGCUGUUCCGGAUAAGAGCAAGAAGAGAACAGUCAUCUACGUCAAGAAGGGGGUUUAUUAUGGGAAUGUGAGGGUUGAGAAAUCCAAGUGGAAUGUUUUGGUGGUCGGUGAUGGUUCGAAUGCAACUAUUGUAACUGCCAAACUCAACGUUGUGGAUGGAACUCCCACAUUUUCCACUGCCACAGUCGGUAAUAGUUCGAUAAAACUCUGUAUAGCUAGCAUAUUUACUGAUCACAUUACUGCCGUCCUUUUGAAAGGGGAUUCUUCUCAUGCAAAUGAGUCUCCUUUCAGUGAGAGAUCUGAUCAGCAAUGUUUGCUGGUAAAUGUUUCAUAUCAUAAUAGUAAUAGAAACAAUUAUUUCUUUGUAUGCAGCCGUUUUUGGAAAGGGAUUCAUUGCCCGGGACAUUGGAUUUCGCAACACUGCAGGGCCAGCCAAGCACCAGGCAGUGGCCUUGUUGUCAACUGCUGAUCAGUCAGUCUUCUAUAGGUGCGACAUUGAUGCAUUCCAGGACACUCUCUAUGCUCACUCCAAUCGCCAAUUCUACCGCGAAUGCAACAUUUAUGGAACAGUGGAUUUCAUUUUCGGGAACUCAGCAGUUGUGCUCCAAAACUGCAACAUAAUGCCUAAGGUUCCCAUGCGAGGCCAGCAGAACACCAUCACAGCUCAAGGGAAGUUUGAUCCCAAUCAAAAUACAGGAAUUUCGAUUCACAAUUGCAGCAUAUCGCCCUUUGGAGACUUGUCCUCGGUCAAAACUUUCCUCGGGAGGCCAUGGAAGAAUUACUCCACAACUGUGUACAUGCAAACAUACAUGGGAAAUCUCAUCAGCACUGAUGGAUGGUUGCCAUGGGUAGGCAAUAGCGCUCCCGACACCGUAUUUUACUCGGAAUUUCAAAAUUUUGGACCUGGUGCUUCCACAAAGAAUAGGGUUAAAUGGAAGGGGUUGAGAACCAUCAACCAAAAAGCAGCCAGCAAAUUUACAGUGCAUUCAUUUCUCCAAGGAACUAAGUGGAUCUCUGAUGCUGGUGUUACCUACACAUCAAGCCUCUGACCAAUAUAUUUGAUAGUUUCAUGAACAAAAAUUGAUUUUCUUUUCCCAAUUUAUUAUUUUCCAUUUCACACUUUUUGAUCAUGAUUGUUUUGUGUGCCUUCUUAUACUUUCUGAUUGCUUUUGCACAGCAAAUUGUGAUAUAUUUUUCUGGCUUUGAUGUAAUUGUUGAAAAAUAGUAUAUACAAAGUCCAACAUGUCUGACAUUUCAUAAUUCAUAUUUCCAAUUAAAUUAAUUUUCAGAUCAUUCAUGUGUAAUACUGGAAAUUCAAAUAUUACGAAUUAAGUUAAUUCUAUUACCAUCUGUUUGUAAAUUUACACUAGCUACUUAGAGGACGGAAUUAUAAACCGAGGAUAUAUAUGAUGAACAUGAAUGAAGUUGGAAUGAAAUUAAGCCAAUGAAUAAUUAAAAAGUUUUUAACAGUACUAAAUACAAUAAUCAGUAGAAAUAGUAUUAAUUUUCACUUGGAAGUUGAGAAGUUUUAAUAAUUCUCUAAUUCAGCAACCCUCCAUAGAAGGGUAUAUCGGUGUCGGGCAACCAAGUAUCACCCAAUGUGAAAUUACUGACAGUGAAAUUCAAGGCUUGAGUAGCAUUCAUCAGACUAUAACCAGGCCAUUGUACUCUCUUCGUCGUGUUUGCCCCCGGCCCGUGAUUCUGAAACUCACCGUAAAACAGUGUGUCCAAUCCAACCGUCCCAUUCCAUUCCAACCAUCCAACUGAGCUGAUCAGAGAGCCAAUAUAAGACUGCAUGAUGACAGUCCUAGAAAACACCUUCCAAGGCCUUCCCAGAAAAUUUAACGUGGAGUUGAGGUCCGCUGCCAAGUCUGGCGCAGCUUCAAUUGUGCAGUUGUGGAUGGAGAUUCCGGUGUUCUGAUUCGGGUCAGUUCGUCCUUGGGCUGUGAAGGCGUUUUUCUGGUUGGGCAUCGGUUUUCGAGCGUAUAAAUUGCAACUCUGGAAGACAGCAGCAGCAUUUCCAAAAAUGAAAUCUACAGUUCCAUAUAUGUCACAUUCCUUAUAGAACUGCCUCAGGGAAUGUACGUAUAGAGUGUCCUGAUAGCCUUCGAAGCUGCACCUGUAAAAUGUGGAGAGGUCAGCAUUGUUUCUUACAGCUACCGCUUGGUGCUUUUCUGGACCUGCAGUGUUCCUGAAUGUAAUAUCUACGGCCACAAAUCGUUCCGCAGAAACAGCUGCAACACAACAAAUCAUUGAGUUUCAGACUAAUUAAGCAUGUAAAACAUAAAUAAUUAAUACUCAAUUCACAGGUGUUCAAACUAAUUUUCACUAUGUUACACAAGUUUGACGAUAUUUAGUCGUCAAUGAAGUAGAAGUCGACAGGUACUUACUACCUGAAGGCGAUAAGGAUUAUGAAAAUUAUGAACCAUGCAUGUAGAGUUUUUCUCUAGUACAUUGGCCAAAUAAUCAAGUUUAAAAAUGACGUGUUAAAGAAACAAAACUUAUCAUCAAAUUUGGAUACAUGUCAUGUUUCAAUUGAAACUAUUUUGUCACUCAGCACUGUCACGUGACAAGGCACAACAGUUUUUUUGAGCCCCUACUAGGGUUUUGGUGGGAUGAAUGUGAUUCAAAUAAUUUUUAUACGCACUUUAAUUUCAAGAGGGCCAGAAGAGAAAGAGGUAGCUAGCAGAAAUGUAAUUCUUACCAAAGGUUGAGGAGUUGAAGGUAGUCCAAUCAUCGACGAAACUAUGGUUUCCGGUAAUGACAGUGCUAUUAAUACCAUCUCCGAGCAGCAUUAUGUUAGUCUUGUGUUUGGCGAUGACAAUGUACUCAUGAUAGCAUCCUCCUCUAACAUAGAUCACAAAGUAGCCAUCUUCAGGCUUCAACUUCUCGGGAGCAGAAGUAAUAGCAUCUCCGAUCGAUGUAAAGUUGUCCGUCCCAUAUGGACCCACAAUCACUGUGUCGUUAACCAGAAUGCCACUGCUCUCCAUUUCUUCAAGAAUCCUCUCACCUCUUUCGGAAGUCGUCGAGUUUUUGCCAGAACUUUUCCGAAGUGCCUGCAAUUUAUUUUUUAUUCAAAUGAAUUCUUAGAUACUCACGAAUCUCUACGUAAUCACUUGUUCUUUUAUCAAUUAUGGUUCAUGAAAUUUAAGCUCACAAGUCAGGUCUCCUCCAUUAAAGUGAUUAGCCACUAGACUAAAUGAUCAUAUACUUAAUUAUAUAUCUAAAGUUGAUCAAACGAUAUUACACGUAUGGUUUGGAUUUGUAGUCAAUGUGAUUAAGCUUGUUCUAUACAUUGUAGCCGUACUGUACACAUUUGUUAAAUUUUAAUUUGUGCAAGUAUAUUGAGUAUUUUAGUCAUAUUUACAGAUUACUUUAUUGUUUUAGUACACUGCAUAAUAUACUAGUAUUGGCACAUGACCUAAAUUCAAUACGGAUUUUCACUCAUCAAUUUACGUUGAGUUUUGUUUACACCCAACAUGCCACCUUUGGACAGUAAAAUUUUUUAACACCCAUCUCAAAAUUUAAGUUUUUUUGGACACCAAACAUAAUUAACACUAAUUAAAACCAACCUUUGAAAUAUCUUUUGUAUUUAAAAUUUGGUUGUAAACAGAAUCGCUCUUUAAUACUGUGUAAGACAUACAAAAGUCACUUAUUAAGAUACUUAUUACCCUGAUAACAUGUUAAGAAUCUUUUUAUGUCGUAUGAUCGGAUGAUGAGUUGACCAGAAAAAUAAAAGGAUGGGUGGUGGUGGUGGCGGCGUGCUGCAUUUGAUGGGGGAGGCCAUUGACGGUGCAAAUGCAUCGCGAUCGAUAUGCAGAAACCAUGUGACGUACGUUACUUACAAGUUAUGCACGUACAAUAAUUGACAUCGGUUGGCAGGGCCUCUUAUUUUGACUCCAUUACUCCAGAUCUAGCUACUUCUAUCACACAGAGACCCACUUGGACUUGAAUAAACAAUUGAACCAUAAAUUGAGAUCUUUGUGUCGAUAAACAAUAUUUCGUAACUAUUUAAAAAAACAAAUUGUAGCUCAGUUGACUUAGAACAUUUUGUUCUGCACCUACUUGAGUUUUCUAAUUCGAGCAAAAAAAAAAAAAAAAUCACAAAAAUGUUGAAUAAAAAAAAUAAUAGUAGAGAAGGUAUCUUUAUGAUGUACUAUCUACUAUGUGAUUGUUCCUCUCAAAUUAAGUCUCUAUGAACUCCAUAUCUUACACUAAUUUAAGGUUUUAUAAAAAUAAAACUCACAAUUUGAAGGGUAAGAUUGUGAGAAAAAAAAUAUACAAGUUAAUUACAAAUAGUGACUCUAAUUAUGAUUCUUUUUAUUAAGAAGCUCUAAUUCAUAGAGUAACCAUGGGUUUACAACCUCAUUAUCAUCAAUUAAAUGAAAAAUUGGAAAUUUUUGCAUAAUAACAUGAGAAGUUGGAAAUUUAAGUGAAGCUACUAUUACAUUUCACGGUAUUAAGAUGAGAUGUUACUCUUACUCUUAAAAUGUCAUCGUGCACUCUUUCUAUGUGUAUUUCAAUUAUACAAUAUUCAAUUUUGUGUAUUAAAUGACAUUAUAAAAGUUUUAUGUAAACAAUAUCAAUUGAUACUAACAUACGAUUCACCAAACCACAUAAUAUAAAAAUUCAAGUAUUUUUCCCAAUUGUAAGUCAAAAACCUACUUCACUCUAUAAUUUUUUGGGAAAUGAUAAAAACGCCUUUUUAACUUCUUACACAUUCCUAUUUAAUUCUAGUGGUUAAUUACGUUGAUUUUUUUUAAACAAAUGGUUAAAACUAAAAAUAAAAAUAUAUGGAAAGCUAAAGUGGUGUGUGAAAAUUAUUUUUCUAAUUCUUUUCUCAACUGCCACAAUAUUUAUUGGACCAUCUUCAAAUGAGAUGUCAAAUAUGCCAAAUAGUAGCUGAGUCAUUUGACUUCUUACUUUUUAGCUAUCUUUUUUACAGCAUACAAAGAAGAAGUUAAAUAUAUUUAAUUUAAUUUGUUAAAGCAUGGGUCCAUUAACAACCAAAAGAAUAAAAAAAUAAAAUCAAUUUUAAUUAUUUUUAAUAGUUAAUGUAACUAUGAGGCUCAAUAUAAUAAUAAAAUAAAGAUUUGAUGGAUCAUUGAAAAAGAAGAAAUUUUAACAUUUGUAUACAAUUGGCCACAUUAGUCAUUAAAUAAAAUUUUGACAUAUUAUAUUUGAUAUCUAAAGAUGCUAUUAGAAAGUCUUGCUAUUUGUUUGUGAACAUUACUCAACUGUUACAAAUUCAAUAGCAGUUACAAAUUCAAUAGCAGCUCCUGCUUCUAAUCAAUCAUAAAUAACACACGUGUCCAAUCUAUAUUUAGAAUUUUAAUUAUUUAAACAUAUAUAUCUGUAAUUAGAUACAAGUAGGAGUUGCUGCUAAAUUUGUAACAGCCUAAGUAGUGUGCUUUGUUUGUUGAAAUCUAGUGUCACAUCCCCAGAUGCUCUAUUGUAUCUGCCAUUUUGGUACCUUUUAUAUAUAAUCUAAUGACACUUGUUAUCUUUCUUGGGUUCCGAAUUACACUAGUAUAUAGUUUCAUUCCAUGCAUUGUUAUUCAACAAUAUUUUUUAUUAGGUAAUGCAAUAGAGGAUUUUUUUUUAUAUUAUAUAUUGUAGACUAUAUGAUGUAGUGGUUAAUCAUUGAAUUUAUUUUUUAAAUUAUUAUAAACAGAGUCAAAUUAUCAACCAUUACAUUAUAUGAUUUACAAAUAUAUUCUAAUAUUCUUCCCAACAAUUUCCCUUUUUAUUACCCAAUAGUCCAACAAAGCUAUAAGCAUGUAGCCUCUGACUAUCAGAUAUACUACAAGAUUUUAUCCAAUUAAAAUCUUAACUAGGAUACUGACAUAUAUAUUCAAAUUAUCACAGAAAAAAAAAGUAAAAAAAUGGGUAAUACUUCAUUUACUAUCUAUUUAUACUAUCAUUUGUACUAUCUUUUUAAUCAAGGUAGGCCCAUCAAUACAUGUGAGUCUCAUAUAUAUUAAAAUCUUAACUAGGAUACUGACAUAUAUAUCAAAAUUAUCACAGAAAAAAAAAGUAAAAAAAUGGGUAAUACUUCAUUUACUAUCUAUUUAUACUAUCAUUUGUACUAUCUUUUUAAUCAAGGUAGGUCCGUCAAUACAUGUGAGUCUCAUUUUUAUUAGAAAAAUAAUACAAAUAAUAGUACAAAUAAAUGGUAAAAUUAACAUUUUUGUAAAAACAAAAAAAAGAAAUGUCUAGAAAAAUGAACUCAAAAGCUUUACCUUAAUGAAAGUUUCAAGUGAUACCCGGAAUUUGUGCACAUUUUUGGUGCCGGAGCCCUCACUGCCUUUCUUAUGCUUUUUGAGAUUACGAGCCAAGGAAUGCGUGACCAACCCAAGCGACACACUAUAGAGCUGCGUAACAUUAGAGAAGGCCACGGCCAGAGCCGUGGUGUUUCCCAAAACGCUGCUCUUAGACACCACAAGCCCAUCGUAACAAGUCUGCUGGUUGGUCACAAUGCCGCUCAGCAACGUCUGCACCUUGUCCACCAGUUCCUCGUUCAGCGUCUCGGCGGACUUGAGCUCUGUCGAGAUCGCCUCCAAGUGCUCCACGUUCAGCUCCGAGAAAUGCUGGCAGUCCUCCAGCGCGUUUGACUCGCUGUCGCUUAUGAAAUACGACUUGUGCUUGGUUUUUCCAAGGAAGUGGUUAAUUGUUGUGGAGGUUUUGCGUGCCUGUUUCAGGCAUUGUUUGAUGGAGAACUUGCCGUAGCUGUAGGGAUCGGACGGUGAGGAGCGAAUGGUGGAGAGCAUCGAACGGCAGAGCUUUGGGUAGAGGGUGGACUUGCAUGCUGAAGAGGAUGAUGAGGAGGAUGAUGCAGCAGCACCAGAGGUUAGCAGAAGUAGUGAAAAGAGGGAUAGAGAAAGGAGGUGGAAGAAAGGAGAGGAGCGUAGCCGUGGCAUUUUGAGUGUGAAAAUGUAUUGUUUUUCCCGCCGGGGGGGUGUGGGGGGCGGGGGCCGCUCUAGGUUGAGUUGAGUGUUUGAAAAUGUGUGUUGGGGAUCUCUUAUAUAUAUAUAUAUAUAUAUAGAGAGAGAGAGAGAGAGAGAGAGAGAGAGAGAGAGAGAGAGAGAGAUGCAGAUAUGCAGGGAUGCGCGUGUACAUUAUUAGUAGGGGAAUGGGGUUGUCGGUUUUGACAAUUUAGAGGUCAGCAAUUUUAAUGCAGAGGUAGGUAAUGCGGUUGUGUUGGCAUCUGAGAACGUGCAAGGUAGCACAUACUCCUAAUCUAGCUCCAUCGUAUUUUUAGGGCUAACUACAUUUCACACCUCAAGGGGAUGAAGUAAUUUUUUAUGGGAUAUUGAUGAUAGAAGUGAUUUUUUAUUUGGAGUGAAUUAGACGAGGAUUAGAGAUAUUGUUUUAGAGACCAUUAGAAUGGAUAAGUUUCUUUUAUAAGCAAUUCAUUUUCUACUCUCUAGUGUAGCAUAAAUUUUCUCUUUCUCCCCUCAAUCUACCUUGAAAUUAAAGAGUUAUCUAUUCCUUUCCAAUCCUUGGUGGCGGCUUUUGGAGAGAGCGAAAGGUGUCAUCGUAUAGGGUCCAAAAUUUAAAAGGGUUCUCCUCAUAGUCACUUCUCAUGAUAGCAAUGUUGGAGUAAGAUUAACUAUGUGGUUUAUUAAAAUUACACAUGGUUAUUUUUUCUCAUUUUUAUUCUUGCGUAUAAUAACCAUAUUUUUCCUCUGUUUUAGUUUAAACUCACUGACUAAGAUCCAAUUAAAUAAAUUUGUAGUGUAAAAGUAAAAUGUUAAAGUUUCACCAUAAAUCAAUUGACCAUAUAAAAACUUAACUUAUUUAUACGCGCAUACAAGAUCUCUUCUCUUAUUAAUGUGUGAUUCAUUAUCAAUAAUAGGUAUUGUGAAACUUGAAAGAAUUGUGAUGACCCACAUAGUAAAAGAUGGUGGAUGAAAUAGCAAUGUUGGUGAGAUAUUUGUUAUAAUUACUACAUGGCUUAUUGGCUUUUGACCAAUACGAUAGUCAAGACUUUUGAUCAGGCAUGUAAUGCUUUGUGUUAAAGCAUACUUUGUAAACUUUCAUAUCUAUACAUAGGGACUCUUGUAAACGUUAGAACACACCAAUUCAUUUUGGUAAAGGCAUUCUCACUCUCACUACAAUAAAAAUGAGCAACAGUCGCUAUUUUUUGUCACAAUUAUCACAUUGAUUGGGAUUGCUUCUUAAAAAAGUUUACGCAAUUGUAGAAAUAUGACUCCUUGAAUUAAUAAUUCAUAAUGGAACUUACAAUAUAUAUAAGGUUUGACAUAACCCAUAUGUGAAAGAAAUUCUAAAAAUUAAUACAAUUAUAUAAGUACAUUCAUAUAAUUAUGAAGAGGUUAUGGUUUAAUUAAUUCUAUUCUAAGACUGCGCCCCAUCCCCUGCAAAUUGAACGAGGCUAAUCAAACAAGUUGAUUAGUGGACGAAAUACAACAAACUUGAUGACUUCCAAGAGUGACCUUUUCACGAACAAAGUGAUAAUGAGUUCAAUAUAAUGUGUGCGAGCAUGUUGAACAGGAUCAGAAGCGAGGCCAGUGGCACUAAGAUUGUCUCAAUAUAGAAGGACAAGGAUAGGCGAACACCUAGCUCGUAAAGUAUAAAAAUAAUCUAAGUGGUUUCAGCACAUGCAUGAGAAAGAGCAUAGUAUUCUGACUCAGCACUGGAAUGUGACCUACUUUUUAGAGCACCAAGAGAUAAAUUUGAGCCAAGAUAAACAAGGUAGUCAGUGGUGAAAUGAACGAUGUCAAAAAAACCGGCCCAAUCAACAUCAGAAUAUGCAGAUAGGGUAGCGGAAGCAACCUGAUGAGUCAAGGUGAUACCAAAAUCUAAAGUACCUUUUAUGUAAUUGAGAAUCCAUUUGGCAGCAAUCAUAUAAGUAGUGUGAGGCGAGCUCAUAAAUUGGGCAAUAUUAUUGACGACAAAGAAAUAUCAGGACGAGUGAGAGUGAGAUACUAGAGCGAGCUAACUAGCUCACGAAACAAAGUAAGAGAAGCCAGGGUGACCUAUCAGAAGCCGUGAGAGAAAUCUUAGCGGCAAGGGGCGUGGAUGUGGGCUUGAACGUAAGUAUAUCAAAUUUUUUAAGGAGGUCAUGAGCAUACUUUAGUUGAUUAAUAUGGAGAUAUAAGUGGAGUCAAGAGUAACUUGUAUACCCAAAAAAUAACUGAGAGGACCCAAAUCUUUGAUGUUAAACUAUUUACCAAGGAGAGUAGUAAAUUGGCUAAGAAGAUCAUAUGAGCUGCCAGUAAUAAUGAUGUCAUCCAGAUAUAGUAGCAAGUAAAUAGUAGAGGAGGCAUGUCGAAAAAUAAACAGUGAAGAAUAUCCUUCACUCCACCGAAAACCGAGGCGAAACAAGAAAGAACUGAUUUUGUGAAACCAUGCACGAGGUGCUUCUUUAAGACCCAUGUAAUGAUUUCUGAAGGUGACAGACAUAAUGCGAACAAGCAGGAUCCGCAAAACUCGGUGGUUGAGCAAUGUAAACAUCUUCCUGAAUGCAUUCAUGCAUUAACAUUCAAUUGACGAAGUGGCCAAGCAUGAGAAAUAGCAAGACUCAAGACAGUGCAAAUAGUAGCUGGUUUGACAACGAGAUUGAACUUUUCAAAAUAAUUAAUGCCACGACACUGAUGGAAACCCUUAACCACAAGACGAGCUUUAUAGCGCUCAAUAGAGCCCUCAAGAUUCCACUUGAUACAAAAAGCUCAUUUGCAACGAACAAUAUUCUGGCCAGGUCGGGGCAGAACAAGAGACCAUGUCUGAUUGCGAAGCAAUACAUUAAUUUGCUCAAUCAUGGCACUGCACCAUUCCGGAUGCUUAGGGGCAUGAGAAAAACAAGUAGGUUCACCAUAAUUAAUAGACGCUAAGAAAGCAUAAGGAAGAACAGUGCCUCAGUACGAGUCUUCGGUUUGGAGAUUCCAUCACGAAGACAAGUCGCCAUUGGAUGAGUACGGACUGCACGGUGGAGGGGGUAGCAUCAGGGAGAGUCGGUUGGACCAUGUCAGAGGGCAUAGGCAGAGGGACACGCGCGCUAGGGCACGUUAAAGGCAACAUGCUUGGGCCGACAAGAUCACGUAAGGUGGGGUGCAUGGGUGUGUUCAACUGGAGUGGCGCUCAAUUGGGUUAUAAGAGGCAGCUAUAACAGUGACUUCUUGAGUUUGCAACGAAUGUAACUUAGAAACUAACACCAAUAAAGUGGCAUUGCUAGUUGCUUCUUGAGUUUAUCUUAAAAAGAAAGGGAGACACUGUUAAUAUCUAUUUCGCAACAGUUCUUUGAUUUGAGAGAGUUUGAGAGACUCUCUCUCGAGAGCCCGUUUGAGAGAGAGAGAGAGAAGGCUUCCCUCUCUAAACUUCUCUCCUUCCCUACGCUUGUUUUGUACUGCUGGUCGAUUUCUAUGCCACCCUUCGGGGCGGCUCUUCCUCCGUCGGUCGUGGCUGCUUCUUCACCCUUGGUGGUGAGCUUGUUCUGUGUUUUUCUUUUGGAACUUCAUAUUUUGUAUUUGGGCCAAGUGUUGGCUGCCUAGUUGGGUCUUUUAAUGAAUUUCUGUCUCACUACCAGAUAAAAAAAAAAAAUUCUUUGAUUUUGAUCGUAUAGGAUUCGAUACCGUUAAUUGUACAAAAUCGGAUAUAAGUUUAGUUGUAUAGGAUCCGUCGAAUUAUCGGAUCAAAUUGAGUUGCAAUAUUUUUCGUAUCGGAUCGGAUCAAAGAUAAGACGAUUCAGCCAAUAUCCAUCCGUUUACAACUCUAAAGCCAAGGUCAAUAUUGUAGUUAGAAUUGCAACGACAAUGACACCCUACUAUACUGCAAAAUAUACGACGUGGGUGUCACUGUACUAGAAAAGUUUAUGACUACGAAGUAAUGUUAUGACAGAAAAAUGCAUUGACAAAGGAGUUGUCUUUGUAGAGAAAAAAACAAUUGAAACAGUGACACGGACCACUUGCACCACUACGUUGCAACAUAGUGACCUCCUUGUCCAAACAAUUGUGAUUAAAGAAUUGUAAUGCAGAUGGCGCUUUAUCAGGGUGGUGAAAAGCAUCAGGUUUAUGCACUUUAGUGCAAAUUUGAUCUCCACUAACUCUCUUUCCUCUAAUAAUUAACUUCUAACCUACUAACGUUAUCGUUCAACUAAAAAAAAUAAAGAUAAAAAGAAUUGUGAUCCUUUGGUUGGAAGUUUAUGAGUGGUGGUGAAAUAAUACGAAGGGAAACAAUUGUAUGUCUUGUUUGGUUGGAAAGUUCCAAGUUAUGUGCACAAAACUUUGCCAUUUUUUUUUUUUUUUUGAUCGAAAAACUUUGCCAAUUGAAACUAGGGCUUUAAAUCCUUAGAUCCAUUUUUGAAACUAAGUUUGUUCAGAUGCUUCUGCGUCUGCCACUAUUUCUUUGGAUCAGUUAGACUUGGACUUCUGAUUGUUUUAGGGCCAAACUAAAAGUGCACAAGAUUAUGGAGCUUUUCAGGAUGGACAAUGCUUGUGUUUCUUAUAUGAAAACCUACUUAUCCCUGAACUUAUAAUUAAUGUCUUUUCACUGUUUACUUAAUGCAUAUGAAUGGUUUAACGAUUUUCAAAUUGAAUGACUUCUUGCAGAUAUGAUCUUUAGAAAAUGAUAAAGAGAAUGAACUAUUCUGGUUAUGAUGUUCAUUAUUUGAUGUAUAUGAAUAGCUAAAUGGUCUCUAAAUUUAAUAAAUUUGUUUGUAUAUAUGAUCUUUAGAUAAUGAUAAAGAUAAUGAAUUUUCAUCAAAAAAAAAAGUUAAAGAGAAUGAAUAUUUUCAAUUAUGAUAUUCAUACAGUAAAGAAACAUUAAUCAGUCAACCACAUAAAUUAAACAUGGAACAAAACCAAAACAUCAAUUACAUUGAUCCGAAAGGGGUGAAUAGGGUCAAAAUUUUCAACAUAUUACGUCACAUGUUCAAACCCUCCAUUUCUCUAUCUAGAUUAUAAAAAAAAAGGUUUUUAAGCCAAAAUAAUCCCUGAAAAUUGCAUCAUAUCACUUUGGUCCUUGAGAUUGUCCACCAUCCAUUAUUUUGGUCAUUCCGUUAAAAACUCCGUUAAGUGUCCUGGAGCUCUUGGUCGGAAGUUUGGGCAAUUUUCAAAGUUUCAUAACUCAAUUGUUUCAUAACCAAAUUCGACCCAUAAUAUAUCAAAAUGAAGAUAGGAAAGUUUAGAACAAGAUUAUACCUAUUUUGAAGCCCAGUGGUUGCUGAAGAUGGCCGGAAAUAGCCUGAAAGGUGACUGGUCCCCGGGAAAAUUGGAAAACUUGCCAGAAACUGGGUAAAAUUUAAACAUUCAUAACUUCUUCAAUACUUAAUGAAAUCGAGUGAUUCAAAAAUGAAAAUCAUACUUCUCGAUGAGACGAAGAGAAUGGCAUCUUUCUUGACAGCUAACUCAUCUUGAUUUGGCCAAAAAUUGCUCGAAAGUAGAGAAUGGUACAUUUCUUGACAGCUAACUCGUCGUGAUUUGGCCGGAAAACGGCUCAAAAGUACCAUUCUCUUUGUCUUGUCGAGAAGUAUGAUUUUCGUUUUUGAAUCACUCGAUUUUGUUGACUAUUGAAGAAGUUAUGAACGUUUAAAAUUUACCCAGUUUUUGGCAAGUUUUCCAGUCACCUUUCAGGCUAUUUUCCGUCUAUAUCUGGCAACUAUUGGGCUUUCAAAUAGGUAUAAUCUUUUUCUACACUUUUCUAUCUUCAUUUUGAUAUAUUAUGGGUCGAAUUUGAUUAAGAAAUGAUUGAGUUACAAAGCUUUGAAAAUUGUUCAAACUUCCGGCCAAGAGCUUUGGGACACUUAACGGAGUUUUGAAUGGAAUGACGAAAAUAAUGAAUGGUGGACAGGGACCAUUUCUAUUGAUUUUAUAGGUCAAAUUUGAUUAAGAAACUAUUGAGUUACGAAGCUUUGAAAAUUGUCCAAACUUCUGGCUAAGAGCUCCUCCAGGACACUUAACGGAAUGACCAAAAUAAUGGACGGUGGACAAUCUCAUGAAUCAUUUCUAUUGAUUUUCAAUUUCAGGAAUCAAAGUGAUGUAUUAUGCAAAUCUCAGAGACCAUUUUGGCUAAAAAACCUAAAAAUAAAUAUAAAAUAAAAUAAAAUAAAACUUGUAAAACAUAUUAACUUCCAAAUAAUGUUUCGAAAUUUCCCAAAUUACUCUAACUCCAAAGUUUAUAAAAAUUCUGAAUUUAAAAAUUAUGUUCCAACCUAGUCCUAGUCCGAAACUUGGGAUUGGAUAUUGGUAACACAUGGUUUCCGAUUCUGAAAACACCCGUACAUUGGCCUUAAAAUUUGACACUCAACUUAUAACUAAAAGGGUUCGAUUACGAAUGCAAUGCCAAUUUGCAUACAAAGUUUGAAACUGAAUGUGCUGCUUAAUACUAUAAUCCUGUACUUAAACUACCAUAUGGUGUAUUCUCACCUUCACCACCACCGACCUAAAAUGUUUCGCCCAGUUAAACACGUUGAGAUCAUGCAAAGGGUUGUAGCUUAAGUGUUUAGAGCCCUUUUGUGUAUCUGAAGUUUCGUGAUCGAUUCCACGCUCUCCUAGUAUCACUCGCAUUAAACACAAUGAGAUCAUAGAUAAGACCAGGUGGCUUGUGAAUCAAGCAAUUUUAUAUCAUCAGCUCCAUUCUCUUUUGACCCAAAUUUAGGCAAGAGAAAUGGGAAUGUCUACAAAUAAAUAUUGUAACCAACACUUUGAUAUAUGACAAGAACAAAGACAGCCGAAAUUCACACAAUAAUCUGUCACCUAUGAAUAUCUCCCCUUCAACUUGUUAGGAAAUCCGAAUAUAUCCAAAGCCGAGCAUCUUUGCCGUGAGAGAACAUACUUCAUAUUGCCUGCAGGAGAGGUCAACUAUUUCGGUACAGUACAUCUCUCACUUGUUGGAGAAUUAUUCUGCACCUCAGUGCUGCAAUAAACUCUGCAUCAUUAAACCUACGUCAUCUCAUUAGAUAAGCAAAACUGGGUAUUUCUUCAAACUUUCAGUGGUUACGGUUAGCUGUUUAGUACCUGACAAUACAAAAGGACGAUCAGGGAAAGGACCUUUAACGGUAGGUAAUCAAAGAACUAACCAAAUUUAGCUAUAACUUACAUGUUUCUCUGGUAUCUAGCAGUUGGUAAAAGCUCUUCAAUUUCGAUUUUCAUAUUAGAGCUAGGUGAUCCCCUCUUAUUUUCAUUCUCAUUAACUACAACAUCCACAAAAAAUGCUGCACACACUGGCCGAUGGUCAGAGAACCGAGACUCUCCACGUAUGUAAGAAAGUUGUCUGAUCCCAUUUCCAUGCCAUAGUAUUCUAUCACACCUGCAAUUUUAAACGAGUCAAAUAAACUUCUUUGUUAAAUGUCAAUUGGGUUCCGUAAGUACAAUCUUCCAGUCGACCUACCAAGCUGGUGUUCUUCUUUUCUUUUUCGAUGUUUUUAUCUCUCCAAAAUAUGUGUCUGAGUUAUAAAAGUAUUUGUAAGUAGGUGCAAAGUAGAUUUUCCCCUCUUUCCAUCCUUUGAAUACUCGCCCUGCUUCUCUUUCGAUCUUGAGCUAUAUAUGCAACCAAAAACAAACAAAAAUUAUUAGUACACCAUGAAAGAUUGAAAUGUGAUCUGAUAUGAUUGUACUUAUGUUGUACCUGCAGUUCCCAACAUAAAUUUCUUAUUCUUUCAUGGCAAAAUCAGUUACCUGAUCUUUGUCAAGAAGUGCAUCCCAGUUGUUGUCCAUCAAUAGCUUUUGGGUUUCAGAGUAGCUCAAAGCAAUGCGGUAAUUCAAGUCCCCUAACCAUAUGACCACACUAGAUCCAUUUGCAAAGAGAUUAAUCAGAUAAUUAGUGUCAAUAAAUGUGAGAAAAUAGUGUUGGAUUAUAAAAAGGGUUCAGUACUUUAAUAACAAGGUUGAAAUAUGCUUACUCAUGUCCUAGAAUUUUAUCCGGCAUCCUACUACGAGCUGUUUUGCAAAUCUUCGGAAACUGAGUGCUUUUAAGAAUCUCUAAAACAUCCAGAUUUCUCCUAAGCUCAUCGCCCUCUUUCUCCCCAGAUGCCAAGUGACUGCAGACAAAGCAAAAGCUUGUCUGAUGGAAUAAGAAGCUCACAGAUAUACAUCCCUGCAACCAGUAUACAAAAUCAUCUAUGUACUGUAAAAGGUUUUUUUUAUGUAUAACCGACAUCUGGUGCUUGUAAAAGUUUUAACAAAAUACCUUGUUUCCAAGUCCCAUUAUCCCGCGACUGAUGCAAGAGAUCCUCAAGUGGCUAACAUAUUGUAUAUACUCUUUCCUCGCCCAAAUAGUAACAAAAAUUCCUACCAUUUGCUUACUUGCUAUAAGGCCGUACUUCAUCUGGUUGGUAGUAGAGGCCAUGGAAAUUUCCGAUAUAUCAAAGGCAUUAGAUCCAUCCUCAUCUGGAUCUGAAGAAAGGUCGUCUUCAUUUAUGUUUGGUUGUUGGCACCGAAAACAAAAAUCUUUACUAUGUUUCCUUUCUAGUUCAAAAGGGCAGUUGCAACUCUUCAACCUCCGUUUGCUCUCUGUCCUAAAAGUCUUACUGACCUUUUUAAGGGAAGGCUUCGGGGAAAAUCGUGAACCACCUGCUUUGCUUCUUGAACACCCAUCAGGUGAUUUGUUUAGCGACUGAUUGAUUAAAGCGAGCCAUUUUGCUGCAGGUUCAUUAUCUUCCAGAACUAGUACAUUUCCUGCAUUUAGCGGAACAAUUUCCUGGAAACUGAUGGUAAAAAGCAGAAAAAUUAAUUAGAUGAACAAUCAAUAUCUUCUUCAGAAGCACAAACAAUAUGGAAUUACAUUUUCAUUUUAAAGGCUGUACCAAACUGAUAUGACAAAACAAAAAAUACACGCAGAAGAUAAAAAUUCACUAGUUUCUUUCUACAGCGAGUGUGCCUGUCCUUUUGACACAUUAUCAUACACUGUGACUCAUAUCAGUCCGAUGGUUUCAAAAACGAGUACCCAAAUGUACAAUUUCAUUUGAAAAAAUUGUCAAAAUAAUUUAUCCGUUUGAAACUAUAAAAAUCAAAGGCAAACACAAAGAAAAUGAAAAAAGAAAAAAAAAAGAGACCAUACCCCAAGACAUAUAUGUCUGAUUCAUUAUCAACCUGCAGAAAAUCAUCCAGAUUAAGGCCACUAUGAGGAGAUUUCCCUCCUGCAUUCCAUGUCGCCACAAAAACCCUGAAACAAAAAAACCGAGAAAGCAAAAGCCAAAAGUUAGCGCAUAUGCAUUCUUGUGAGCGGAUAGAAAGACGGAAACAAGAACCAGUUGUAGAAGAUAUUCCAAUUACCGAAAGGACUGAACAUAUUGACCGGCAGGCAUUUGAGAUCCUGUGUCACUUAUAGAUUGAAUGUCAACUGAUGGGUUAGACUGCCGUGCUUCUGAAAUAGGAUACAAUUACGUAAAGACUUCAUGGUAAGAUGUCAAAUUUAUAAGAAUUGUAGGCUAAGCAAGACAGAAAUUUUCUUUGGAAGUUAAAAAGGAAGCAGAGAGAGAGAGAGAGAGAGAGAGAGGUGGGGAUGAGAGGGACAUUUUUUAUGCUUGCUAGUUGCUACCUUUCUUGCAGUAGCUUAGAUUUGAAACAUGAAUAUAUUCUAAGAUUACAUUUCCAUGGUGCUCUCCCUCUCUCUGUAGCAAUCGAUAUCUUUCUUACCAAAAACGCCAUUUUAAGACCCCAAAUGUCUUAUAUGGUAGGACCAAUGUCCCUAUCUUACCAAACAGUUAAAGAAGAACAAAUCCAUUCAAAAAAAGAAGAGUAAAUCACAUCCUUCAAAAAGCAGAUGGGAUUCUAUUCUGCGGUUCCAAAAAGAAAGAUAACAUCAACUAUAAUAUAAGUCCCCAAUUGCAAGGAAUAUCCUCUCUCUCUCUCUCUCUCUCUCUCUCUCUCUCUCUCUAGAUUUUCUCCAUUGGAAAACAAUGGUGAUAAGUGAUUGAAUUGAAACCAGAAAGAAACACAUUUACUCACCUGAGAAAUCCGAAGAGCCGCUUCCUUCUUUCUCCUUUGUGGUGAAGAUUUUAUGAAUAAAAGACUGAAACAAAAGGGUAAACACAAAAUCCAAUUAAUUAACAAAAUCUGAUAAAAAAUCACCAUUCUGUUUGCCGAAAGAUCCAUUUUUUUUAUCUACAAAAUUGAAAAGAAGAAGAAUUUGGAAACAAAAAUAAGAAAAAGGAACCUUCUUUUUCACGUCUUGAUUGCUGACAGGCAUUCCGAAGGUGCAACUUUUUCAUCAACUGUUAUUCACAGACCUUCACAAACCUACAGAUAACAGAUUUAUACUGCAAUUAGAUCAAAACCUUCCAAACCGGAUAAUUAAAUUGCUCCUAUUUCUUUUAAAUCGUCAAAAAAAAAAAGAAGGAAAUUUCAUGAAUUGGACAAAAUAAAUUAUAGAUUAAAAACAAAGAGGACAACGUGAGAAUAUUUGUAAAAUAUUGAGAUUGAACAAACGAAUACAAUUCUCAGAGAAUAAGACUCUAGUUACCUACAUCCAAAAAAUAGCAUCAAAUACAAACACCCAAAUGCAAUUCAGUUUCAGAUGACAGAAUAAAUAGAACAUAAAUUACCAGAACUUGGUGAAGGAUGAGAUCUCUGUAAACUUAUAUAAAUAUAAUAUAUAUGUAUAUAUGUAUAUAUUUAUAUAUUAUUAUAAAGAAAGAGUGGCAAUGGCAACAAGAACAACCAACCCAUGAAACAAGUUGACAGGCAACAUGGGUUUUCUCGAGAAAGUCAACUGGACAAAGCGAUUCCCUGUUCCUUGCCUUGAUAAAAUAUUUGGAUUUGUUUGUUUAAUUUAUUUUUUAUUCCAGAAAAAAAAAAAAAAAAAAAGGAGAUGGAGAAUUGAACGUGAUAAGACUGGUAAGGAGACCUGCAUAUUCCAUAUGGAUGGCUUCAAACUUCCACCUCUUGUUCUUCCAUAGAUGGUGUUUCAAGAAAAGUCCUCUCCCUUUGUUUUUUGUUGAUGGACAAUACAAACAAAGACAAAUGCAAUAAAUAAUUUCACGAGCGAAACUUAUUAGUGUUUUUAAUAUAUUUUUAUUGAUUUUAAUAUAUAUAGGUUACGAUCCGGAGACAUAUCGUUUUUCACACAUUUUAACACUCAUUUGAUAGGGCUCACUUCUCAAUGUAUUUUAACGAUCCAAAUCGUCGGUAUUUAGUACAUCAUUCAUAGAUCAUCCUUGCUAAAAAUUUAGACAAAUCCAAAAUAAUUAUGAAAUUCAUUUAUAGUGAAAAAUGGUCGAAUACGGUUCUACAAAGAAACACUAAAUUUAAUCCAACCGUAUAGUUUUGGAUUUGAGUGAUUUUUAGUGUACAUAAUUUUUUAGGUAAGACAUAAAAAAUAGACAAUUAGGUCUUUGAGAUACACCAUUAGAUGAAUUCCACAAAAACUUGUGUCAAAAUAUAUGUUAAAAACGUGACCUUAUAUAUAUUAUUUAUUAUUUUUAACAUGUUUCUUCAAAAAAUUUAUAUAUCUUUUGAUAUUUAAAGCGUUAUUUGGCUUUGCAAUUUUUAUUUUUGUUUAGAAUUACUUUAUUGAAACGAAAAAGAAAAUAACAAUUCUCAAGUAUUACAAUUUCUUUUUCAACUAAUUUUUGGUGACAUUUAAUAUGUUCUUAAGAAAGCAAAUUUUCUAUCAGAAAGUGAUUUUACACACUUUUUAGCUUUUCACUUUACUCUUUAUUUUUGGCAAUUGAAUUGAGUAAAUCAACGGAUAUGAUUAAACAUAUGUGUUAGAGGUUUAAAAGAGUAUACUUAUAUUCCCUUUUUUAGCCGAUGCUAGCACUAGUAUUGGUCUUCAUGUAAAGACACUUGCAUUUGAGAUAUGUGUGUCAAACUAAGGCGAGAUUUGUUUUUCUAUUUGAUUCUGGUUAUACUUGUGGUUCUUUUUAUGGAAGCUUUCACUUUUUGAUAAAAUAAAAAAUAUAAAAAUAUAAAAUAAAAACAGUUUAUAACAAAAUUAAGUAUAACAAUCUGAAGAAAUAGAAAGGUUCUGCAACUCAACUUAAAAAAAAAUGAUAGCAAAAAAAACACGACGUUAAAUAUAUGUAAAUCUUAUCAGUCACUAAUUCCGACAUAACUCUUCAUAUAAAUUUAAACACAAAAAUAUACCAAAUAUAAUUAUAUAAUGAUGAGGGGGGUCAAAAGAAAGAGGGGGAAGAGAAGAUUGUGAAAUGUCCCAUCAAAUAAAGUCCAGACACAAUUGGAAAUUGGGAUUGGGAUUUGGGAAGUAAUCGUUGUUUUAUGUCAGUUUGUACUUUGUUUUCUUCUCCGGAAGAAAGUUGGUUUUGAAAAUCCCGGAUCUCUUUCUUCUAAUUUAUCAAAUUAGAGAUUCUGUAUUACUAAAAUUUGAUCAAACAGUUGAAAUCAUUAUAAUUUCUAAAGUAGAUUCAUGUUUAUAACAGUUAAAUCAAAUUUCAAUGACACGAAUUUUCUAAUUUAGGAAAUUAGAGGAAGGAAACGGAUCCCUUUUCUCGAAAAUCUACAUGCUACUUGUCUCUUCAUCUCUCGAAUAGUUGAACUGUUAUAACGAAAUCAUCAACGGAUCUAUUUUUAAAUGAGAAAAAAUCUAUUUGGUACUUUGUUCUUAAAUUUUAGCAGAUUAUGGUCAUGGUUUUCGUGCGUCCCACUUUCUAGUUCAUUAAAACUUGAUGGGUGAGAGAAACGAGGGGGAGGGGUUUAUUUAAUGUCUUUUUUAUUUUUAAUUUUGUGUGACAGAGGAAAAAGAGGCCCCACGUGUGUAUGUGUGUGUCUCCGUCAAACAGUCAAACUUGGGAGGCUUUGUUUGUGGGUUAUGGUUUCCUGGCUGUACGGCAGGCGUUGCCACCGCUGCCGCCAAUAUAAUAACCUUAAUAUUCCCUUGGCCGGUCCCAGGUUUGGGCUUUUGGGGCUCAUCGUGCACUUUGCCAAUUGUCAAUCUUUCUUUCUUCACGGUUAAACUACAUUUUACAUAACGUGGAAAAUGUUAUGGAGAUUUUUAUAAAAGUAGGACUCUCCAUAGAUACUUUGGCGCCUCAUUGUUUACACAAUUUUAGUGUUGACAAUAUAAAGUUUUAUGCUUUAAAUAUGAGGUGACGGAAAGUUUUAUUUUAAGAGAGUCUUGCAUUUCUCUUUAUCAAAAUUUAAGGUCAAUCUCACGAUGGACUAUGAGGUUUUGAUUUUCAUAUAGCACCAUGAUAAUUUUGAAUAACUUGAGCCACUUUACACCUUUUUGUUAGGUUGACUGUUGGAGGGUGAGUCUUAGCUCGGAUUCAUGAGCAGUUAAUGGUUGACCAUACAAUCAACUUAAAUUGAUGUAAGUUGGAGGAAUGUCAAAAGUCUAGUUGUAAUGUGAAAAUUUUGAUAUUAUGUGAUCUGAUUUGUAUUAAAACUCACACCAAACCUCAGUUGGUUAAGAUGCAUUUAGCCCUUUUAUGGUUGUGGAGACCGAUUUACACUUGCGGACAAAAGGAGGACCGCACUAUUGGCGUUUUCUAGUGUUGGAAUUUCAAAUAAAAAAUAGUCUAAAAGGACAAACCAACUAACUUGAUUUGUCAAUAACUAACUAAUCUCGAUCGAUAUUGUACUGAAAUCGAUCUGGUCAAACGUCGAACAGGUUCUCAAAUCAUGAAUAGUCAGUAAAGUAGAACCAAUUUUAAACUGUCAGUAAAAUUGAACCAACUGACUCAAUUUUAAAAUGUUCAUAUUUUAAUGUAGAACUAGAACCUUUUGGACUGAAAUUGAGCAGAACAAAAACUUCCAAUACAACUUUUGCAUUCUUAUAUGGAACCAAACUAGUUCUAUUUGCUCCACAUUUCUAGUCUUUUGUUUUCGUUCCCUAGUUCUAUUGGUCUUGGGUUUGUCAAGGGCAAAGCCUUUGGACCACGUAACACAGCUUACAAGAAAUGGUUGUCGACUGUUUAACCAUAAAAUGCUAAGUAUUGGUUUUAGGAAGAAGCUAAUUAAGCAUACAACAAAUGUGUAAAUUUGAUGGUACCAAAAACAAUGUCGAAAAAAGGAAGAUCAAUUUCUUCAAGGCUGGCAAAGCGAGGGAGGGGGCUCCCAGACAACAUGUUUUGGACUCAACAUUUUUGUACUUCAAACUUGAAGCUGCUGGAUCCCAUUCCCCACACACACUUCUCAAUAUUUGAAUAUAAUGUUUAAUCUGCACUUUUGACUGUGUUUGGAUCUAAUAUCUUGACUAAUUGUGCCUUAUGUUAAGUUUGUGAUGGAUUAUGGGUGUGAUGAGGAUUUUCAGUUAUAUAAUUAUUUAAAAAGAGGUUAUUCAAUAAAUUUAUAUAAUGUUUUCUGAGUAUGCAAAUAUGAUGGUCGUGAUGAGACUGAAUAGUAAUAUUGUCCCACAUUAUAAAUUUGGAUCAUAUCAAGGACAUAUACUUUUAACACGUCAUUCUAUAAUGUAUUUCAACGAUUCAAACAUCUAUUUUUAGGUCUUCUAAAAGAAUAAUAUGAUUUCUCUUUGAAAGUGGAUAAAUCGAUAACAUUAGAUAAAUGAGCUUGUUGUCUCCAAGUCCCAAACUUAGGACCCAAUUCCGAAAAACACCAUACCUUGAAAUGGUUUGAUAACUCUUAAAGCACCAUAUUCUCUUACAAGUCGAAUUUUAGGGACAAGUUCUACUCAUGAACUCUAAAUUAUAUCCACUCCGCCGGUUCUCUAGUCCUCUCUUUGCCGUUUUGUUGCUACCCUAUUCCAAACCUUUUGGACCACAAUAUUGGCAACAAGAAAAAAGGGUGGUCAAAAUAUAGUUCAAUCAAUCAUAUUAUUAAGACUUGCUUUCUAUUUACAGCGGAAAGGUGCAGAUUCUUUGAAAAAAACCAGUGAGUGAGAAGACCCUUCUGGUCCCAAAGCAUCAAACAUACUAUAUAUAUAUAUAUAUAUAUAUAUAGUGUGUGUGUACAGACACAUAUAAUAUACACAUAUAAUAUAUUCGUAACCUGUAACACCAAUAAUAUUCUUACUUUUUGGUUUUACAUUCUAGCUUAUUAAGCAAUACUUGCAAAAAAAUUAUGUGGUUUGCGAUUCAAUUUAAAGCUUCAGCCUUGUAGAAGGUACGUGUUAUGAUUUAUUUCUUCAUUUGCAUUGUCCACGAUAUUGAGAGUGCUGUUAAGAAUAAACCUUCAUUGUGACAGGCUCGCCUCAUGACUCAAAUGGUUAAGGACGUUGACUCUUGUAUUCGAGCUCAUGUGUUUGAACUCUGUCAUCCGAAAAUAUCACUUGUAUAUAAACAAAACAAAGAACCUUUUGACUACGUACCAUGCAACAUAGAAAGUAGAAAAACCCUUCAUUCUUUUUCCCACGUCGAGAAACCAUUCUUUCUAUCAUCUUUAAACAUGUUUUUGGGGGCUAGCAUUUUAAUUAAUUCAGUCAAACCCAAAACCAAAGCAUCAAAGACCAAAAUAUGCUUAAAGGUUAAAUCUUGAAACUAAGACUAGGUUUCCGUUUCAAGCGGAAAGGUGCGAAGUUUUUUGGAAGGAGCCGAGCCAGUCAUCGCUCAUCAGCUAGUGAGAUUUAUAGUCUUCUCUUCUGGUCCCAAAGCAUCCAAGAUAUCAUUACGUUCCAAAUAGUAGGGAUUACUUUAGGCAUUUAGGGGGAAGGCUAAGCAUACAAAACGUAUGGGCAUUUGAUAUAAAAGGAAGAGCAUGUUUCCUGGGUUGUUACUUUAGGCCUUAAGAGGCAAUGCACGCACCAAGAAAAUUAUAGUUUCUGGAAGAUAAAAGGAAGAACAUUUUCGAUUCUUUUGGUUACAGUAAUGGAUGGGCCGAAACAUUAUAACAAAUAAAAUGAUCUACACAAGAGGUAGGCUUUCAAAAGCAUGAUAACAUACCCAGCUACUCUAGAUUAAAGUCCAAAUAAAGCAAGAUUAUCGGCUAGAAAAAUCUCGUUCACAAUCCAAGACAUAUAGUCAUCCAUCAAAGCUAUUCUGGUAUGCGUAAUAAACAAAUUAGCAAAACUUCUCACAUUUGUGCUUUUGAAUUGAAGCAUUCGAGGUUUAUGAUUCAGUUCAAAACUUCAUCUACAUAAAAAAUGUUCUAAAAUAUGAUAUAAAACAGUUAUAGUCAUUAGAGGGAUCUAGAUAUUAUACUUCAAAGGUUGGAACCCAUUAACCACGAAGGUUUUUCUAAGUCCAAUCUGAUGAAUCUUGAGGCAAAACUUAAGAUUUGGAUUUUGUUGGUGGAUUACCAGACUCUUUUGGUCAUUUACUCACACCCCUUCUUUUAGAAUCUUAAAGGAAAAGAAGAAAAAGGAAGAAGAUGCAAGGAUUUGACGUUGAUGUGUGAAACAAGGGAAAGAGGAUUUGUUUUGUUUUGUCCCACAUCGACCAGCUGAGCAUGAGCACCAUUCUUUAUAUACCUGACACGUGUAGACUUGAUCGCCGAGUUCAGUCGCGUGAACUUGUGACCCAAGUGGGGGCACUAAGGAUGGUUUGGAAACGAUUGAGAGGUGGACAACCUACGGUACGUGUGGAUCCAUUUGAGGGGCUUAGUGGGCCCUUGUCGGCGUGCCGAUGUGGACCCAGGUGACACAGGUGUUCGCGCGCGUGGUAUGUAAGAGAAGCGGCCGCCCUGAAGCGUAGGCCGGAGCCGCUGGCCAGAAGCACAGCGGAUACAGUUGUUUCCGGCCACUGUCGAUAAGCACAGCGGCGGCGAUACAGUCCUUCCGCCUUGUAAAAGAGUAGCUGGAAGAUUUCUUUACCUCAGUGUUGAGUAAAGCCCGUUGGCUUAUCAGAGCAACGGGGGCUCUUACUGCUGAACUCCUCCCUCCGCAAUGGAUCACACGCCGGCACCCCUCAUCUGUCCCACACCACCGUAGGACCCGCUCCUCAAUUCCGACCUCCAUCUUUUUUAAAUCAAUUAUUUACCCAACAUUUCCUAUUUAUUUAACGUUUAAUUUUGUUUUCUACAUACUUUUUUAUGACAAAAUACAUAAAAUUAAUUGACAAACUAACUAUUCGAGAGAAAGUUUAAAGGGCUAAAAACAAAAUUCAGGUCACUUAUUACAAAUGGUCUUAAUAACAUUAAAAAAGUCUACACUAAAAAUUGUCAUAAAAACUGAUCUACCUUUUCAGAAUAAUGCAUAAGUUAAAAAAUCGAUCAACAUCGUCUCUGAAUAUAAAUCGAUAAAUCAAUGUUGUUUUUUCAAAAUUUCGUAAAAACUUCUAUUACUAAUCGAAAAUGACAUACUCACCC